Molecule: long non-coding RNA, 53980 nt
Filed under: Citrus maxima (pomelo)
Lineage: Eukaryota; Viridiplantae; Streptophyta; Magnoliopsida; Sapindales; Rutaceae
Description: long non-coding RNA (CMAX_LNC001662)
Source: RNAcentral
GAGAAACCCCUGCAAAUCAUCAUCAUGAAGCCGGUGGACAGAAGCCCUCGUCCCACAUGGCAAGGUGGAACCAGCAUCACCAACAUAGUCUGCAGUUAGCUCUGAAUUCAAAUGAUACUCACCCACCACUUCUUGACAUUGAAAUUGAGCUUCAACAUCCGCAAAUGCCACUUGCCAUAAAAUAUCUCUAGAAUCUGGAGGAUAAUACCAUAUCUCAUAAUCUGUCCUCAUUACAUAAAGCAAAUCUUCCGAACCAUUCGCAUAAAUACGAAACUCUUCUUCAUCGCACGGAAGCCCUGAGCCUAACGUAGAUGCUGAAUUAUCUGACCCAUGACUGCAAAUCAUUCUACCCGACUUGGCAGCGACAAAGAACACGCUAGUUUUUUCGUUGCCUAAUAAAAGUGCACCGUCAUCCCAUACAUGCGGCAUCCUUCUCAUAAACUCUUCAACAUCUAUCGAGGGUUUCUGCUAAACAAAAAAAUCACAUUAGCGUAAUGCAAAUAUACAAACUUAACUUGCAGAAAAAGUACAUAUGGCAGCAGAAUGUGGCAAAUGACAAGAUGUGUUCUUAGUUGGUCAUAAAUAAUACAAUGACAAAGUCAGCAACUCUCACUCACGAAAAUUAAUAAAAUAAUAGGUGUAACAAUAAGCCUGGUUUUGUAAUGAGAAUUGGAGUUAUAAAAAUCCGAAAGGCUCAUGUUAAUGCAACUCAAAGCUACCUUCUCAACUUCUCCAUUUAUGUCAAGAACAAUCCCCACAUUAACUGGAACUGUUGUGUUCUGAGACAUGGCUGUGUUAGUGAAGAAGAAUAAGCUUAAGGUAAUUUGGGGACUUAGAAUGAAUGACAGAGGAGAAAAGUUUUGUUGGGUUGUUUAGUCUCAUCAUUUUGAAGCUUCUAAUUAGUAAUAAGGUUUGAUACUUUGACGACGGAUAGCUCUUGUUCGUCUAGUAUGUCGCUGAUAUGACAAAAUAUAAAAAAUUGGUCGUUUCACAUACAUCGAUUACAUGUGUAUCUAGGAGUGGAAAGAGUUUUGGGUACCGCUGUAUUGCCUCCUUUCCAUUGAUUCCAUGCUAUGCGUGUUGAGCUUUUUUUUUUUUUUUUAAUAAUUGAUUGAUAUACGAGUACAAAUAAUAGGAGAAUGAAUCAUAUUUGGGGGUCAUUUGGCCAAAACUUGUCGUGUGGAAUUGGAAAGGAGUGUUGUGCAAAUUUUAAUAUACUCGCAAGCGCACAAAUAUAGAAAUACAAUAGUGGUAACGAGGCCGAUCCCACAGAGAUUGUUAUAAAUUGGAAAGUUUAAUUUAAAUUUAAAAUUAAUAUUAAUCAUAACCUAGUUGAGCAAUUUGAAUUUUUUAGAGAAAUUAAACUAAUUAAACUAAGAAAAUAAUUAAAGCAAAUGAGAAAUCAAUAAGACAAAAAUUACCAAGGUUUCGGAAUCCACUACUAUUUAAUUAGUAAUUAUCUAAAUAUUAAUUAAUCCCCAAUUUUAAAGUGACAACUAGAUAUCAAUUUAUGUCAUCUCAUAAAUAUAACAAUUAAGCCCAAUUAAAAUUAAUCUUGUGUAAGUUCUUUUUCUGCUUAAUAGUAUGAUAUCUAAGUAUCCCAUGUAAACAUAUUAAAUAACAAAGAGUCAAAAUUUUCAUAAGUACUCUGUGUAGAUAAUUUAAUGAAAGACAUAGAAUCAAAGAUAAUUAUGUAUAAACUUUAUAGAUCAAAGCAUAGAUUUAAUCGAAUAAUAAUCCGAACAAUCAAUAAUGCAUGACAAAAUUAAUGAAAAGAUUUUAAUAACAUCCAAUUAAUCAUGUGAAAUAAAAACCAUAAUCAUCAAAGAAUAUAUAUAGGGAAUUAAUUAAAUAAAAAGAUAAUUAAUUCAUUGAAUAUGGUUUUAUCCUUAACCUCAGUAUAAGAAAAUUAGCUAGACAUACUUGAAUUGGGAGCAACAAAAUUAAUAAAAUCAGCCAUGGGAAGCCGAAUUGCUGCUGCAAUUUUUCUUCUCUCCCAGCCUUCCCUCUCCUCCUCCGGUGGCUGCUCUCUAAUUCCUUUUAUAUUGUAACUCCACCAAAAAAUCCUCAAGUCAAAAGGUUUUAAAACAAGCCUAGCACAACCGACUUUGAGCCCAUGCACGUGAAGCCCACUUGGAAUUUUCAUUCCUUUUUAAAUGCCAUGCAGUUGCUGCUCACGUGCUGGCCACUUUAGCUUUAAAUUUCUUCUUUGUUUGCACUAGCAUGGAGAAUUCAAUUUAUGGCUUCGGCUUCUUCGGAUUGAAUUUCAUACACAUCUGCUUAAUUGCUUCCACAAAUUGACUUGAUCUUCAAUGCUGUCCAAUUAUUAUUCCUUAUACACUUUUCAUCCAUAAUCUCCAAUUAAUUCCCUAAUUAAUAAAAUAACUCAAUUAAUUAUAAAAAAUAAAUAAAAAUAACUAGUAAUUAUAUAAUUAAAGAUAAAAUAUGUAUAUAAAUGAUGCUCAUCAAGAAGCAAAAGGUCUCAACUUCGUAUUUGCUGGUUUAGAAUUAAUAGUUUUUCAUCUUAAAAAGAUACGCAAAAUUAUAAAUAUUCGGAUCCACACCUCGUCUGAACUCUACAUUCUCAUGCAUCUUGUACAUCCGUGGCAUGAGAAAACAAGGCAACUAAAUGGCUUGGUAGCAAAAUCUCCUUGAACUAUAGAAUUUUGGAGUAGUUACCUCAAAACUCAAAGAUAUGAUUUGUCUGAAGCUCCUCAAACCAUUCUUUAAACUCAAUAAUGGAGUGGGACAUGUCUGAGUCCGAUAUUGUCAGACUCUGCUAACUGCAAGAUUUCGUCAUUUUUGUCUCAUUUCAUGAUCUGCCGUUUACCUUGACCAAAUCAAACCGUAUAUGUUUCAAAAAGAAAAAGUCACAAGAAAAAUCCGUACAUCUUUUGCUUCGUGCAAUGUAUCAAAGCCACAAAAACAACUUUAAUUUUACAAUAAGAAUAACCUUGCCAUAGUCAGCAUCAAAAUUAAUUAAAGUAAGUAAUUAAUAUUUCCUAGUCAGCGUCAAAAUCUUCAGCAACGUGGACAGCAGAGCGGAGGAUUCUAGCAGCUGUAGUCAACAGAUGCGAAUUGAUGACAUGGAGUGCCAGCUGGCAUAAGACGGUUACACGGCUACUCAUGCAUGUACCAGUUAGUUUAUAAGUUAAUGGAAAAUGAUGUUUGUCCCGGUCAAACCCCGAAAAUAAAUAAAACGGCGUCAUUUUGAUUUUUUCUUUUUUUUUUUUCUUGUCCAAAACGUUGUUGUUUCACUUACCAUUUCCAUUUCACUUACCAGUUCCAAAACCUGGGAACUGGAUUGAUAGAAUCCAGCAGGUGGGAACGCGAUUCGUUUCCUCGUUUCUUCCUUGUUUGUGAUUCAUCCAGCAGCUGUCAAGGAAUUUCAUACUGGAUGACUUUGUUUGUGAUUCAUCCUCUUCGUCUUUAAGCUGAAGAAAGUUAUUAAGAAAGAAAGAACACACCCAUUUAGUGAAGAAAGUGAUUAACAGCAGCUGCGAAAUUUGUUGAGUUUCGGCUACUAAGCUGAGUUUGGACGGAACAAGACCAACAGCAGCUGCGAAGUUUCAGCAGAACAAGAACAUUGUCCCUGAAAGCUUGAAUUAUCGAAGCUUGAAUUUAUUUUUUCGAUACUGUCUUCUUUGCAGUAUUUUAUUUUUUGAAUUAUUUUUUAAUUUUUCCCUGCGUUUUUACAACAUUGUAACAUUGAAUUUAAUUUUUAACCACAAAAGAAGUAGAGAGAUUGUUGCGUAUGAGCAUGCUAUGACAUUUGACACCACAUUGAACCUGCCAAAAAGUGGUUAAAAACAAAAAUGAGUUGGGCAUUUGUUUGUAUAUAAUGGGUAUAAGUUGAGUAUUUGUUUCUAUAUUGCAUUUUGAAUGUUGAUUAAUGAGCUGGGCAUUUGUUUGUAUAUCCCAACCUUAUACUGUAAAAGCUGUAUCAUUUGACCUGUACAAAUGUUGGUUUUGAAUCAUUCAACUUAAACACCUUACUUAAUCAAAAGUCUUAUAGAUUGACAAUAAUCGAAAUAGAGGUGAAAAAGUCAUCUUCUUUUUUUUUUCCGAGUAAUUACCCGAGUUCAAAUCCUAGAAGAUUAAAGAUUAUAAAAGAUUAAAAAAGAAAAAAAAAGAGAUUAAAAAAGAUAAAAGAUUACAACAAGCUUGAGCUGUUUCAAUUUGAAUGUUGAGUUGUUUCAUUUUGUUUUUUAAAUUUUGUUUCUAAAUUUAAUGAAUUUGCGAUAAAUAACUAAUAAGAUAUUGAAUUAUUUAAAUUUGCAGCAGUUAAAGGAUAAUUUCGAACAAGUGGAGGAGGUUGAUGAAGUUAGAGAAUUGCAGGAUUUACAGGGGGCUGAAAUGGAAGAAAAUAAUGAGGAAUUGGUGGUGGAAAAAGUUGUUGAGCCUACAGUUAGGAUGUCUUUUGAUAGUCCUGAUGAAAUGUUUGAAUAUUAUAAAGCUUUUGGCCUACAAGAGGGGUUUCCAGUGAUGCGUAGAUCUUGUAGAAAAUGGGAUGAUGAGAGUUUGAGAUAUGUGACAUUUACUUGUGGGAGAAACGGCAAGUCAAAAGCGAAACCCACUAAUGUUUUGCGGCUUCAACCAAACCAAAAAAUUGGAUGCAAUGCUAAAAUUGGAGGACGUUUGGAUUUUGUUAGUGGAAAAUGGGUAAUUGGAAAUUUGAUCCUUAAACACAACCAUGCCGUGAGUCCGAGCAAGAGUAGGUAUUAUUGAUGCAACCGUACCAUUAGUCCUUUUGUUAAAAAGCAGCUUGAAAUAAAUGAAGAAGCUAGAAUUAAAAUAGCUCAAAGUUUUAAGUAUUUUGGGCAGAUCCAAGGAGUAGGGCAGCCUAUAAAGACUUUGGAGAUGUUGUCACAUUUGAUACCACAUACCUUACAAACAAGUAUGACAUGCCAUUUGCUCCUUUUGUAGGAGUUAAUCAUCAUGGUCAAUCAAUUUUGUUAGGAUGUGGGUUGAUUUCGCAUGAGGACACAGAGACAUUUACGCGGUUAUUUGACACAUGGCUAUCAUGUAUGUCUGGCUGUCCUCCCCUUGGAAUCAUUACAGAUCAAGAUAAAGCGAUGAAAAACAUAGUUUAGAUUGUAUUUCCAAACACUACGCAUCGAUGGUGUUUGUGGCAUAUACUGAAAAAGGUGCCUGAGAAGUUGGGAAGGUAUGCAGAAUAUAAUGCCAUUAGAGUUUCAUUGCUUUCUGUUGUUUAUGAUUCACAUACUCCUGUUGAAUUCGAGGAAUCUUGGCAUGACAUGUUAGAUAAAUAUGAUCUUAAAAUUAAUCAGUGGUUGAAUGGUUUAUAUGAGGAAAGAAAUCGUUGGAUUCCAGCAUUCGUGAAAAUUACUUUUUGGGCUGGAAUGUCAACCAGUCAGCGUAGUGAGAGUAUGAAUGCUUUCUUUAAUGGGUAUGUUAACUCGAAAACAACUUUAAAGCAAUUUGUGGAGAAAUAUAAAAAAGCAAUGAAAAUUAAAAUUGAGAAAGAAUGGCAAGCAGAUGCACGGAGUUUUGGCCAACGGUUGCCAUGUCGUACUAGUUUUGCAAUGGAAAAGCAAGUUGAAGAAGUGUACAUUAUUUCCAAGUUUCAGGAAUUUCAGUAGGAGCUGAUGAAUAAGAUAUAUUGUGAGGUUUUCAGUUGUGGGGGGGUCAUAAUAUGAAGUUAUUGAAAACGAUGAAAAGAGUAGAGAAAAGACUUUUAGAGUCAUUUUUGAAAAAGAUGAAGAUGAAAUUCGUUGUGUGCGCUCAAUGUUUGAAUAUAAGGGCAUUCUUUGCAAACACGCUAUCGUAGUGUUGUCACGUAACCGUGUGUAAUUACUGCCUGAAAAGUAUAUCCUAUGAAGAUGGAGGAAAGAUGUGCGGAGAUUCUCUAGUAAAGUCAAAGUCAAUUAUGAUGCACGGAGUUCAAGCAUUGAACAUCAGCGAUAUAAAGAGGAGUGCACUGCUUUUUAUGAUGUUGCUAAGGUAGCUUUCAAAAAUGAAGAAAGCCAUAAAAACAUUAUGGGUUGGAUCGAGAAAGUUAUGAAGGAUGUAUCUCUAAAUGUUCGAUGUGACGGUGACGAUACAACCAUUGAUAGUGGAUCCAGUAGUAACAUACAAGAUCCAGUGGUAACUCGGCGUAAAGGUCGUCCACCUUGUCAAAGAAAGCAAAAGCAAUUUAAGAGGCCAAAACAAAAAUCGAACAACGUUUCGAUAAACACAAUUAUAGAGGUAAUUAUAUAUACUUUAGAUUAAUUUAAUACUUUAAUACAUUCAUUUUAAAUUAAUUUAAUAUAUACUUUAAAUGUGUGUUGACUGCACUUCUAGGACGCAGAGAUACAUGAUUUAUCUUCUCAGGUGGCUACUACAAUCCCAACACAAGAGAGCAAUAUGGCUAUGGUAAUAUUUUUUUAUUUGUUAUUUCCAUUCAUUGUCAUAUGUUUGAUAAUUUGUGUUUAACUUUUUCUUUUUUUUGGUACAACAACAACCACAGUAAGCACCCCUACAACAUGCAUUUUUUCCCCCCUUAUUAUCAGUAUUAGAUGAAUUACGGUCCAACUCAUCAUGUACACUUGCAACAUGCACCGCAACAAAAUUUCGAGGAGGCCAAUCAAGGGGAGUUUUCAACUAAUGAACCAAGCAUGUGAUCGAAGUUAGGUUAUGCUUAUGUUUUAUGUAUUAUUCAACUAAUGAACUAAUAUAAUUUGGUGUAUGUGUAUUUCGACAUUUUUGAAAUUAUGGAGUUCAUAAGUCUAUUUUCAAAAUGCUAGAAAUGGAUUCAUUUGGAAAAUAUUAGAAUGAUUUGGGCCAUAGUAUAAUUUUGACAAGAAUUUUUUAGGCCAAAUUAUAAUUUUAUAAUACUGUAAAUUAAUAAGUCUAUUUUCAAAAUGCUAGAAAUGGAUUCAUUAGGAAAAUAUUAGAAUGAUUUGGGCCAUAGUAUAAUUUUGACAAGAAUUUUUAGGGCCAAAUUAUAAUUUCAUAAUACUGUGAAUUAAAUCCAGAGAAUCAAACAACUCGGAACCUUAUAUUUAACAUGAAAAUGCUAUUACAUAUGUCUACAAGUCUGUAACUUGAAACAACUUAAAAAUAAUACUUUAAGAGAAAACAUAAUCAACAAUCAUCAGUAUUUUAAUAAAAUCAUAUCGUGGUGCCUCUCUUUUUCGAAGUUCGUCGUCCAACAAUCGCCUCUGCACUUCACGUUCUCACAUAUGCUCAAGUUCUUUAUACAAUAAUUGAAAUUUAAUAGACAAACACUCGAUCUCUAAGGCCGAGUUCCUAACUUCAUCUGCUAACAAGUCUAUUUUCUCUUCGCUAGGUUUACGACCUUUUGCCCAUUCAAAAUUCUUACAUCCUCUACAAAUCCAAAAUUUACGAUUUGGAUUUUUUGUUGUGCGUGACGUUAACAACUCCAUAUGAUUACCACAUCCAUUACACAUUUGCAAUGAGCUUCGAUUCUCACUUAACUCGGAUGACAUUGUUUGUGGUUAAUAGUCCAUUGGGAAGAAACUGCCCAAAAAGGGAAACAAUUACAGUUAAUAAUGCCAAAGAAAUUACCCAAUUCAAAUUUUAAUUGCAAUUACAGUUAGUCAGACUUAAAAGAAAAGAAAACUAGAACAUAUGAACAACAUGAAAACUGGAACAUGAAAAGAAAUUACCACUAAAUUCUACAAGCAAUUAGCCAGCAACCACCCAGCAGCUAAUGUGAAAACUACAACCAAUAUGCCAGAAAGGCUACAUAUGUCUCGUGUAGCUGAUCCAAAUUCAAAAAGUUCAACAAAGUUACCAAUAAAUUCUACAAGCAACCAGCCAGCAACCACCCAGCAGCUAAUAUGAAAACUACAAGUAAUAUGCCAGAAAGGCUAUCAAAGAACCCAAGCCAAAAUGCACGCAAUCUAUAUACCAAAAUGCACACAAUCUAUAAACAGACAACUGGAGAUAAAAUAGAAGCCUCCAUCAAUAAUAUUAAUCCUCAUCACUCGGUUACAUUAAUUCAAAAAAGAACAUGAAAUACAAAAAGAGAGCAGCUGCAAUUGACUCAAAUCAGAAAUAUCUCAUACUCAGAAAUAACAGACAAGUUUCUGCUGCAUAAGCCCAGAAAUAACAGUCAAUUGUAGCUGCAUAAGCCGAGAAAUAACAGACAGAGCAGCUGCAAUUGACUCAAAUCAGAAAUCUCUUCGAAAUCUUCUAGAGCAAAAUCUCUUUUUCAUCAUCAUUCAUCCUCAACCUCAACAUUAGCAAAUUCAAAAUUGUACCCAAAUUCAGCCGAAAAUCAAUUGCAAUUUAACACACUUAAAUAAAACGGGAAUGACAAAAGCUAUCCAAAUUCAGCUGAAAAUUAAUUAAAUGGGAAUGACAAUAGCUAAGAAAAUUUAGCACUUGCAGAGCAAUGAUAUUAAAUUUUCAUCAUAACUGUCCUAACCUAGCUCAACCAAAUCGUCCCCAUUUUGCCAUAACCUAAAGAGGAAAAAACGAAGCAUUACCUCAGGCUGUGAACUUUGCCGCUUCGUGAGUUCAAUUUCCCGAACAAGUUUCCGCUACUAGCGUUGACGGUGACCGUGGCUGUGAGUCGGUCGUGGUGGAUCUCGAAUGGCUGGACCUCGGUCGAGGAAGGAAAGUAACGAUUUUUUUAAAGAAACGAAGAAACGAAGCAUCGAAGAGAUCUACAGUCAAAUGGAACAAGACCAACUUGUUCUUCUAUCUGUCUCGUUCCCAGGUGAAACGAAGAAACGAAGAAACGAAGAGGAAGAGAUUUAAUUCUUCUCAAAAUAGUCCAUCACAAACGGUAACGUUUUGGACAAGAAAAAAAAAAUCAAAACGACGUUGUUUUAUUUAUUUGACCUGGGGUUUGACCUAGGGCAAAUAUCAGAACUCUAAGCUAAUAUAAUCUGUUAUAUUAGUUAAAAAAUGAGUUGAAUAACAACUCAGCAAUCUUGUAUAUAUAAAACCUCAUGUACAUUUUAUUCUCAGUGUAUUGUGCAACAACAAAAUGAAUUAGAAAGUCCUGGAAUAUAGUUCUCGAUUCAUCUUUAGCAUUUUCUUUCAUUUUCUCAGUGUCCAAACAUCAAUUUCUCGGUCUUUAACUAAAAUUAAUUAAAGUAAUUAAUAUUUCCUGAUACUAGGUUUUAUUUUGGUCUCUGGAGGAAGUAAUUAUUAUUAUUUGAAUGAGUCUAGCUAUUGAACAAUAUUUUCCAUAACAUAUUUCUCUUGUAAAUCUAUGCCUGUGUACAAACGAUAUGGUUAGGAUACCGAACCGAACCAUACCUGUUCGGGGUUCAGUUCUAUUUCAUUUCAGAAUUUUCCUAACCAAUCAGUUUUGGUUCGAAUUUUAAAAAAUGAACCAACACCAAGGAAAUCAACAACACGAACUGAACCGAAAUCUCUCACCCCUACUGGGUUUCUUAUCUGAUAUUCAGGGUUAUAUGCUCACAAUGAAUCCGUAAAAUUUCCACCAAUAGCAAGAGCACUGACUUGAAUUUCUUUUAUAAUUUAAUAUAACAAAGCCAAGCGGUGCCAAGUAAAAAAACAUGAGCUUCGUUAACAGUUCUCUUUGCCUUCAGUUACAUGCUAUCUACUGCGAAACCAAUGUAUAUAAUUUUUUCCCUGGAUGUGCUUUUUUUUUUUAUCUGCGUCUAUGGUCCCAUUCCAGGUCUGAAUUUCUUCCAUGAGAACAUCCCUUCUGUAGCUAUGUUAUUUAUAACUGCAUUAGUUGUUUUCACGAACUACUUGGGGGCUUCUUGCUAUUUCUUGAUCUGGGUUAGUGAGCUCAACGGCAGACACUAUCUCUGGAGGUGCUUGAACUUGACUAUUUGGAUUAUGAUUCAAAUUACCAUACUCAGUUCUGGGUGUCCCUUGCUCUCCAUAGAACAAAAAGUGGGAAUCUGCAUGCUGUGAGUAGCUUGAAGGACUGGCUGGGUAGCGACUGUCUGGAGAGGCUUCAGUUGCACCCAUACCAUGAACUUGGAUGCCACCUUUUUCUUUGAAAGUAUGUGCACUGAGGUCUCUUGAAACAAAUAUUCUGAGAAAAAUGCGAAUUCUUGACAACAAUGAUGAUUCUGAAUCCUUCAAGACAUUCCUGUGCUGAUGGACAAAAACAGCCAGGAAUAUGAUGAGAGCUAAGAUUGCAGCAAUGCCAGCUAUGAGAAACAGACCCCAGAAACUGUUAAGGCCAAGGCUGCGAGAAGAAACAGCGGUACUUGCAUCUGGGCAGCUAGAAUCUUUCUUGAACCAUGCUUCUUCAAUUUUUUUCAUUUUAUCCCCUUCAGUCACAUUUAAGAUUGCCUUCGAAACAUCGUGCACUAGCGGGGAAUGUAAUGGGAAGGCCUGCAAAGCACCAAACAAAAGAAAAUCAGCAUUGAGAAAUUAAGAAAAGGUUGUAAUUGAUGUGCUUCUGCUUAAUUGAGAAAGCACGACAGCUUAAGUGUUUGACGAAUGCCCUCAUUUGCUGGCAGAUAAUGUUUAUCAACCACUCAUCCAUCCAUUGUUGGUAGUUAGAUAUUUUAUUACAAAUAGCUGUGGACUAAAAAAGCCAUGACGCCAGAAGAAAGUUCGAGAACUUACAAAACCAAAUCCAGCUGUUUUGAAUAUUGAUUCAACCAUGGUAUAUUUGGAGCAAUGUUGACCAAUAAGCAACUUCAUGAAGGGAACUUCAUCAAAUGCUGCUGCAAUGCCGCCAUUUGCACUGCCUUUUUGGAAAAGUUCAUCACAUUCUUCAUGAGAAUUAUACACUACAAGUUUCCUCUCAUCAAAGCCUAAUUGUUUCAGGAUUCCAAGAACAAAGGAACCCUUCUGGUAGCCAACAUUGUCCCCUCUCUUUAUCAGCAAGUUGACAUCAGUAAUUGUUGGCUGCAGUUGCUGCACUGUAAGUAGCGAAGUCAAGCUAGCUGUGUAGCUUUGAAUGAGAAUGAGCACAACAAAACACCAUACAAUCACCACAAAUCUGGCCAAGUUGCUUAUCACUCUCUCCCCUGUAUACGUAAAAGUUAAAGAAAAAACGUCAAUGUAAUGCCUUGCAUGGUGAAUGUGAAUGCAUUAGUAUCUAAUAGAAGUCAAGAAAGUUGAUGGGACAUUUAUUACGUUGUGAAAAGACCAUUGUUGAGAAUGAGAACCAGAAGCUUGUGCCAACUUGAUGCCUAGCAGGGCCACGAAAAUCUUCGUUUACUCUGUGUUCAAGAACCCACACUACAAAUCCAAUGAAAAUGAAAAAACAGCCACUUGUCACCCAAAGGUCCCAUGUUAAUGGCUGCAAGAACACCCAUGCAUUUCUCUUGUUGCUAUCUUUGAUCGGCACAAUCAUGGAUACUCCAGAUUCUGUAUAAGGCAGUGUGAAAUCUACAUAAUUUGAUCUAUUAAACACAAUUGUUGUAUCUCCCACCACAGCAUCAAAUUCCUGUUCAAAAUCACCCAAAAUAAAUAAAUAAAUAACAGGCUUUUACGUUACAUAAUCAAGAUGUGACUAGUACUAUUCUGAUUAGCAUUACGAGAUGGAUUUUUUACCUCGAGAAAUACUUGGUAGAUCAAAUCAUCGUAUGAACCGGAACUGGUGCCAUCAGGCUGAGCAUAGGCAAUAAAAUCAUAAGCGACAGCAUAUGGCAAAUCCUGAAUUACAGCUUUGAACACAUCUAUACAAUAUCCAGUGACAGAAGUUGUUUCUUGAGUUUUUGGAUCAAUUGUCACCUUCACAAAAUCACUAAAGCCUUUCUUUACGGGCACUCCAAUGCGUAGCUUCUUCUCAUUUGUAGGAACCUCCCAUCCCUUUGGAUCAGAAGUAGAAUCCCCUGGCCAUGUGAUAGAUUUAAGUUUGGAUUUUGUAGUCGAAUUUGAACUUAGUUUCAGCGUUAGUCCUUUUUCUGGUGUCCAAAAUCCAACCCCUCUUGCUCCAUUAUUGACAUUAAUAAUCUCAAAAGCUGAAGAUUGUAACUGCCCAUCAACAAAAAUGUAGUCCCCUGUAAGCCCUUUGAAUCUUGUACUUGAUAAAGCUUGGAGAAGUUUUGGACCAUUCUGAGAGAUACCAAAAGCUUCAAGAUCAGUUGCAUUGCUAGAAACAUUAGUCUUAUCAAAGCCAAAACUUGUGAUACCGGCUUUCUCGACUGCCACGGCCAGUGCCCUUGUAGCAUCAUAACCUAAUAACCCCAAAUUGUUCAAUUCAACAUCAAAAAGAGACGGAUUCUCCUGCAAAAAUUUCCUUUUCCAUCGAACUCUAAAAUUUUCGAGUGCCUUUGUUUUCGGAACAUAAGGUCUCACACCUAUCACUCCUUGCAUUGAAUCAAUCACAGAAGGCUCCAAUGUUCUUAACAAAUUGGUCAUGCCAUCGGUCAUGAUCCACACACAGCCUUUGUUCAUCAAUCCAAUUUCGUUUGCUCUCUCAAAAAUCCUAGAGCCAAGGGAAGGCAACAUAUGCAAAAUGAACACUCUGGUUUGCAUUGUGAAUAGUUUGUAAAGCUCUUUUUGAAUUUGAUCGUCAGUAGCCAAAGGAGAAAUGACACUUCUAUAUGGCACCCGAGUGUCAAUGGCUUGAAGGGCGUCAGUUAGAGAAGGAAUCAUUGCUUCUCCGUAUUGAUUGUCUACAUAAAUGGGCACAGCUUCUCUCCAACCAAAGGCUUUGAUUAUUGCAGUUAUGGCACCAACUUGAGAUGAGUCAUUUAGGGCACCUCUAAAGAAGUAUGGACUCCUAAUGGAAGUAAGCGAAGGACUUGUUGCGGAAAAUGACAAAAUGGGCACUUGUGAUUUGUUGCCUAGUUGAAUUAUAAAGUUGGUCUGCAUGGAAUUUUCAGGUCCCAGCAUGGCCUGUACUUGUACAUUUUUAAGCAAGUCCAGAGCUGUGAAUUGACCAAAGAAAAUUGUGAUUCAAUUUUCAUCAAAAUUUCCAAUUUCAAGAAAUAAAGAUUUAGUAUUAAUAGUAACUAGAAAAUAGAACCGCGUUUCACGCGGUUUUGAAAAAAGAAUUUAGUAUUUUUUUUUUACUUUACACUUGAUGAAACUGAUAAAAAAUAUGAAUUGAUUUUUUUUUUAAGAUGAGGCAGUCUUAUAAAAAAUAAAAAAAAGCUAUUAACCAGCAAUACAAAUAAAGAAGUAACACAAGAUAAAAAAUAAAAUGAGAGAAUAUAUUAUACUGUGAUUUUAUUCAUUCCAAUUGUGUGUGUACAAAACAAAAAGAUGAGCUCUCCUUUUAUAGUUACAUAAUCACUCCAUAAAAUUAAUGAAAAAUUAUGGAUCAUAAUUUCUUGUGAGAUAGUGGGAGUUAUAGGGAAGCUAAAGGUUGCUAAUGAGAGAUAGUGAGGAGACUAAGAGAUAUAUGUUAUGAACAUCUACAUUUAUUUUAAUAAAUUCAUAACACUCCCCCUUGGAUGUUCAUUACAAAGAUUAUGCCUCAUUAAAACAUUUACAUAAUUGUUAUUAUGUAAUAACAAUCAAAUUAAUUGUGAGAAGAUGAAAAACUAAAUCUAAAAGAAAAUUUCUCUAUUUAGUAGAUUUAGUCCCUAAUCUUUCAUAAUCUUUUAUGGAUCCUGGUUUCCUCAAUGCUGUUCGGCUCCUGUAAUUAAUGUUGCAAUUUGCAACAGAAAUCCCUCUUAACAGUGAAAUUAAUGACAAGGUAAAUAAUUAUUUAACAAAAAAAUAUAAUAAUGUUAUGUCAUAUGCCACACGUUAGUUAUAUUAUUAUUCGUUUUUGUAAACUCAUAAUCAACUCAUUUUUUAUCCUAAGUGGGAUAAAUUAAGCUUGCUCUUCCACAAAUUUAGAAAUUAAAAAUUGAAAUAGCAUUUUUUCCCCUUAUUCUUUAAAUUGUUGAUUACAACUUUGAGGUUUUUCUCUUUGAUCAUAUUGAUAGUCUUAGCAUAAAUAAGCAUAAUAUAAUUAUACCUCAUCAACAAAUGGAUACUAAUGUAUGGUAGUAAUGUGGUCGACAAGUUUCAAGAUAAAAAAUGAACUUGUUUUCUAUUAAUUUUUUAGUAACUAUCUUUAUCUAAAUCUUUUUCAUAUUGCUUAUGUUAUGAAGAGUGAUACUAUCUCAUAACAUUGUCUAAUUAGCUCACAACUUUAAGACUAUUUAUGAAAUGCUUCAGAAUCAUGGCAUGCAUUCAUACAAUUAUCGGCAUAUAGUGAAAUUAUUCACUAGUAAUUUUAUUAUACUGAAUCGGAAGAAUUUACAGUUAUUAUCACUGGUCAACGUUUUUGCUUACUCAUACAAGUAUCAAGAUUCGUAGCUUCCCAAGUCCUAGGCUGGGAAAGCCUCACGCAUAGGCAUAGACAAAUGGUAUGAGAAGAAUUUUUGUUUUUAUUUUUAAAUUUUAAAAGAUAAGUAAUGGACAACGCCCAAAAGCUCGGAUGGUCAAAUAAAAAAAAUUAAUAUUUAAAAAUUACUUGAUCAAACCCAAAAUCGAUAAUUAUAAGUGAAACUAAUAUAUUAUUUUAAUUAUUAUUGUUAUUUCACUUGUCUACGGUUUUGGUUAUUUACAGCUAAGUAAUUGGAUCGCUUUGUUAUAUUGUACUCAAGUUCUAUACAAGGAGUACCGCCAAUUCUUAUCUUAUUUUAUUUAUUUAUUUAUUAUUAUUUUUUCAUACACGUUUUCAGUUUCAAGUGAUUAGGGGUGUUCAGAAUCCAAUCCGAUUCGCUCAAUCCGUCUAAUCCGUAUAAGUCCGAUCCGUGAAUUGGUGGAUUGAAUUGAAUUGAAAAUUUAAAAAUCCACAGAUGGUGGAUUGGAUAUGGAUUUACUUCUGUAAAUCCAUUAAAAUCCGUGAAUCCGCAAAAAAAUAAAAAUAUUUAUUCAAUAAAAAAAUUAAACUUAUAAAUAUGGUAUUAUACUUACUAAUAAAUAAAUAAGUUAAAAUAUAAUUACAUUAACAACAUAUUAUAUCUUAUCCGAUAAUAAUAUAAAAUAAAAAUAAUUAAAUAGAAAAAUAUAGCUUCCUAAGCAGUUUAUUUUUAUGCACUGAUCUAAACAAAUGAUAUUUUUUUUCUUUUUGGUGUAUUAUAUUUUGAAACUUUGAAUGUAUUUUCUAACUUUAUUCAAACAAUUAAUUUAUUUAAUCUUAUUUAAUUUUGAAUUUAAUCGGUAGUAAAAUUAUUUUUAUAUUAAUUUUUUUAUUUAUUUAGUUCGUAAAUAAAACAUAAUUAAAAAAUUUUAGCUUGUAAAUAAAUCCGCAAAAUGGUGGAUUAGAUAUGGAUUGGGUCAAAUUCGCAUUCGAUCCAUAGAUAUAUGGAUUGGAUUUGGGUUAAAUUUCACCAACCCAUGGAUUUGAUUAGAUUAAAAAUUUAUAAUCUGCAAAAUCAUGGAUCGAAUAUGGAUUGAUAUCCAAUCCGCAAAAUCCGAUCAGCGAAGAACCCUACAAAUGAUGCUAGGUCUGGAUUUUGAUGGUCAAGACAUGAAUAGUUUGGAUUUUAAGCACCCAAUGGAAACUCUAGCAAAUUAAUCAGUAAAAUUUAAUGGGUAUUUAAUAAAACAUCACUAGCUGUCAAGGAGAAAUAAUUUGCUGUAUUUUUAGAGCUUAUUUUUAAUAAACAGUUAUAAUAUUGAUAUAUAAUUACUUACGAUGGCAAAGAAAAGUUACUGAGCAUUUACUUACUAAACAGUUUGUCAACUGGGCUUUGGUUAAUAAGCUGCCGAAAAGAUGCUAAAUCUUUUGACUCUAAUAUCCUGGAGAAAUUCUAGAAUAUAUCUGAGGUAUCAUGUCAUCCAUAUAAAAAGCAAUAAUAUCAUGAUAUGUGUGCAUUUAUUUUGAACCACUAUCAUGCAAGUGGUGAUUAAAUUCAAUUACACUUGUCAUGCAUGCAUCAAUUGGUUGUAGUACAUCUGAAGUAUUCUAGAAUUUCUCAAUAUCCUGAUAUUUGCCUUUUACUUCUAUGUGAUUGACAUUAAUAAACAAAUCAAUUUGUAAUAAAGAGGUAAGUUAUUGAACAUACGCGAAUAAAAAUGUACGUCUAUACAUAUAUGAGAGAAACUUUAAACGUUAAGUUCAGACCAAAAGAAGAUGAAUAUGAAUUACUAUAAAUUAGGAAGAAGCGAGGGAUGGCGAAUAAUGAUUGGGUACGUACCUGCAGCAGCAGCAGCAACAACAUCUCCUUUGGAAUCCCUGGUGUUAAGAAUAAGCCUGGUUUUGUAGUGAGAAUUGGAGUUAUAAAAAUCCGAAAGGCUCAUGUUGAUGCAACUCAAAGCUACCUUUUCAACUUCUCCAUUUAUGUCAAGAACCAACCCCACAUUAACUGGAACUGCUGUGGUCUGAGACAUGGCUGUGUUAGUGAAGAAGAAUAAGCUUAAGAUAAUUAGAGGAAUUAGAAUGAAUGACAAAGAGGAGAAAAGUUUUGUUGGGUUGUUUGGUCUCGUCAUUUUGCAGCUUCUAUUUAGUAGUAAUGUUUGAUAUUUUGACGACCGAUAGCUCUUGUUUAUAUAGAGAUGUUAAAGAUUUUUAAAAGUUUGAAAGUAUUAACGCCUUAAACGAAGCUGAUAUGACAUUCUCUACAUGGGGGGUUGGACUAACUGUGGCAUUUCUUAUUUUAAAAGAAAAGGAGAAAAGUCUUUAGUGGCCGGUUGGAGGGAAAUUUCAAGCUAUUAUAUUUGUCAAAUUAAUCUUAACAAGUUGUAGCUUGCCACUAGCAAAACAAAAUAUCACAAAUUGGUCAUUUCACAUACAUUGAUUACAUGUCUAUCUAGGAGUCGACAUAGUCUAGGGUACCGCUGCAUUGCCUCCCUUCCAUUGAUUCCAUGCUAUGCGUGUUGACUUUUUUUUUUUUUUUUUUUUAAUAAUUGAUCGAUAUAUGAGUACAAAUAAUAAGAGUAUGAAGUCAUAUUUGGGGGUCAUUUAGCCAAAACUUGUCGCGUGGAAUUGGAAAAGAGUAAAAGGUCUCAACUCUGUACUUGCUGAUUUAGAAUUAGUAGUUGUUCAUCUUAAAAUGAUAUAUAAAUUAUAAAAAUUUGGAUCCACACCUCGUCAGAACCCCACAUUCUAAUACAUCUUUACAUCAGUGGCACGAGAUAACAAGGCAUGCGCCUAAAUGUCUUAGUAGCAAAAUCUUCUUAAACUAUAGAAUUUUGGACUAGUUAUCUCAAAGCUCAAAGAUAUUAUUUGUCUGAAGCUCCGCAAUCCAUUCUUUAAACUCAAUAAUGGAGUGGGACAUGUCUGAGUCCUAUAUUGUCUUACUCUGCUAACUCCAAGAUUUCAUCAUUUUUUUCUCAUUUCAUGAUCUACCGUUUACCUUGACCAAAUCAAACCGUAUAUAUUUCAAAAAAGAAAAAGUCACAAGAAAAAUACGUGUAUCUUUUGCUUCGUACAAGGUAUAACGUACCAAAGCCACAAAAACAGCUUUUAUUUUGCAAUAAUAAUAACCUUGCCAUAGUCAGCAUAAAAACUAAUUAAGUAAUUAAUAUUUCCUAGUCAGCGUCAAAAUUAAUUAUGGUAAUUAAUAUUUCCUGACGCUAGGUUUUAUUUUUGUCUGUGGAGGAAGUAAAUAAUAUUAUUUGAAUGAGUCUAGCUAUUGAGUAUUGACAGUGCUUAAUAUAUCGCAACGACAUUAUCUUUACUUCGUGGAAGCAUCCUUUGUCAUGUCACAAUAAAUUUCUUGAUCAAGUACUGCGUUGUACGUGACCAUCAAUUAAGCUUAUUGACUCGCAAAGAUUCUCAAGGCAGUAGCUAGAGUUUUAAAUUUCAAUCGAAGGUUGUGUCUAACUUUUCUGCAGUUACCUACUAGUGAAAUUUCCAUAAUCGGAUUCUGUAUAUUCUAAAUUAAUACAGAUAAACACAUAUUGGUUGCUCUAAGAUAGAGCAUGCUUUCAUAACUGCACGAUUAAAAUUAGAACGUGCUUUUUAUUAUUUUAUCACUUUACGUAUAUAACUGUGAUUUGUGCUCUACUUUAGAGCAGCUCUAAGGUAGUCAUUGCCUUUUUUGAAAAGCAUACCCUUGACUUCCAAAGUUUGGAUUGUGGUAAUCAAUGCUAUGCGUGCAGCGCUUUUGUAAAUUCUUUUGCCAACUUGAUGUUAUUUUGUGAAUAUCUUUGAAAAAAAAAAAAAAAAGAGUUCAAAAGGUUUUAUUGAAUUUAUCCAAAUAAUCUUAAGACACUGAUUUAAAAAAAAAUAAAAUACGUGUGUUUAAUUUUAAAUAACGUUCCUAGAAGUCUUGAUCUGAGUCUUGGUGUCAUUUUCUCUCAUUUAUUAUUUAAUUUUGGGUCCAUGUAGUUUGCACAAGAAGUGGACUUCCAACUUUAACUAAAUCAUUAUACGUCUUAUUCAAUUGGUGUUUGCAAGGGCAGAAGAAAUUUCAAUUAGUAUUCUGCAUCACGGUCUCAGUCAUGGUCACAGUCCCAAGUAAUUUCGUUUUAAUAUAUAACUGAUGAAAGUAAUUUCGUGUUCAAUUGAACGACUCUAUUUAAUAUGUAUGUUUAUUCCAGUUUUCUGUCUGUAUUUGUGGCCACGCCAGAGUCCCAGGUAAUUUCGUUUUAUCUCCCUUCUAAGUGAGUUCUGUGAGAUAGAUUUAUAGGAAUGAUUUGUUAAUUGUAAUUUUCUCCACAAUUUUUGAGUAAUCAUCAUCAUCGAUCAACGCUCGCAUAAUGAAGAUUAGUGAGUUCAAUUCGGCAAUAGCAGGCGCCAUAUCUGGAGGUAGCCAUUCGGAUUAGGAUUUGGAUCACCAAACUCAGUUGAAGGACUUCUGUGCUCUCCGAAGAAACUAAAGUUGGAAUCUCCAUUUAUGUCAAGAACCAGCAACCCAACAUUAACUGGAAUUGUUUUGGCUUUUGACGGGGCUGUGUUAUUCAAGAAGAAUAAGAUCACUAGAGGAAUCUGAAAGAAUGGGAAAGGGGGAACACUUUUCAUUGGGUUGUUUAGGAUGCGUUUUGAAAUUGAGUUGCUGUAGAUUUUAAGCUAUAGUUGCUCUGGAAAAAAAGUUGUAACCAUGAAACUACAACAAAAAAGGGCUUUAGCGACGAACUGAUUCGUCACUAAAACAUGCAAUUUUCGUCGCUAACGGUUAUAGCGACAAAAAAAUUUCCGUCGCCAUAAAAGCGUCGCGUUAGGUCUUUAGCAUCGAAUUUUUAAAUUUCGUUGCUAAAAACACUUUUAGCGACGAACCAAGAUUCGUCGCCAAAAGUACUUUUGCGUCGUUAAAAGUAUACAUUUAGCUACAAAUAUUAAUUUUCGUAGCUAAAAGUACUUUUAGCCACGAAAACUAUUUCGUCGCUAAAGGUAUCAUUUUUCUUUUAUUUAUUUAUUUAUUUAUCUAUUUAUUAUUAUUAUUAUUAUUGUUAAAAUAUUAUUAUUUUUAAUACUAAAUUACAAUGACAAUUAACACCAUUAUGGUAAAAACAUGAUUAAUUAAUUUUAAAACAAUUAUUAUUAUUGAUGAGCAAUACAAAAAUAAUUACAAAAUUUAAUAUUGUUACAAAUGAAUAUAAAUUUCUUAGUUUUCUUCAUCUUGAUGAAAUUGGUCUUCAAUAUUCCCUACAAAUAAACACACAAUAAUUAGUUAAGAUAAUAAACACAAAUUUAAUAAUAAUAUAAGUUAGAAUAAAUAAGAUAAGAAAAGAAAAUACACCAUGUUCAAAUAUAAAAGAGAAAAGAAGUAGAGAUUAAAUUAGAAAAUGAGAAUUAUACAUUUAGAGAUGAGAGAAUUAAGGGAAUGAGAGAAUGAGAGAAUGAAAGAAAGAAUGAAAAAAAAAAUGAAGUAAAUGGUAUAUAAAUAGUAGGGGUGGGCAACUUCGGGUCCAGAUCGUAUUCGGAUGAAUCCGAUCGGAUUUCGGUUAAUUUCGGUUAAUUUGGGUUAAAUGGUUUAUAAAUAGUAGGGGUGUGCUUAUAUUUUUAUUUUCUCGAAAGCAUUGCAAAAUCCAAUCGAAUUAUUUGGAUUGACCCGGAUUCAAUCCGAAUUUAUUUGGAUCAGAUCGGAUCGAUCUGAACUCGAUCUGAUGCCCAGCCCUAAUAAAUAGGUUAUAGGAGUUUUUAGCGACGAAAAUUAGAAUUCGUCGUCAAAACUUAAUUUUGGUGAAAAUAACCUGGAAAUUUUUUUUUUCAACUUUUUUAGCGACGAAAUACUUCCUUGCUAAAAGUUAUUUUCGUCGCUAAAAGUACACAUUCAACGGUGAAAUUCAAUUUCGUUGCUAAAGGUCUUAAAUUUUCACAAUUUUUACGCAACGAAAAUAUAUUUCGUUGCAAAAUUUAGCAACAAAAUUUUUUUUUCUCGCUAAAACAUGGCCAUUUGAGAUAUCAAAGAGUUUUAGCAACAAAUUUUAUUCGCCGUUAAAGGUAUUUUUAGUGACAAAGUAUAUUUCCGUUGCCAACAUAUGCUAUUUUAGCAUAUCAAUGAGUUUUUUAACGACACAAUUUAUUCGUAGCUCGCUAAACCUAUUUUUGGCAACGAAAUAAACUAUUUGUAGCUAUGAAAGCUAUUCGUCGCAAUAUAUCAAAUUUUAAUCGCUAAAGGUUUUGGCGCCAACAUUUUUUUUGCCACUUAAUUUUUUGGCGACGAAACUAAUUUUUGGUCGCUAUAUGUCCUCUUUAGCGACAAACUUUUUCGUUGCUAAAAGUGAUAAUUAAAUAUUAUUUUUCUACUAUGACUUUAGCGACAAAAGUUCUUUUUCGUCAUUAAAAAGUACUUUUAGUGACGAAAAUAUUUUCGUCGCUAAAAACCAAUAUUCUUGUAGAGAAACAAAAGUUAGUAAUAUUUAGUAAAUAUAAAUUUUAAAUAAAAAUUUUGACAAAAUUAUUAAAAAUAUAAUAGAUUUUCUAUCAUACAAGUGAAAAAUCAUAUUAGCAUAGUUUCUAAGUUAUAACAGUUAACGUUUACCAAACACUUUACUGCUGUACCUUAAAAGCUACACUUGCCUAAUCUCAAUCCCAAACACACCCUUAGUGUCAUCAUUGUGAAGCUUUAUUUUAGUAGUACGUACGGUUUUGAUAUUUUGUUGAUGGAGUCAUGGAGUGAUUUUGUUCUUGUACAGUGUUAAAAGAUUUGGAAAGUAUGAAAUACACAAUUAAUGCCUGUAGAAUAAGCAAGUAAUUGACUUUGAAUGGGAAGUCUAUUUUUAUAGAUAUCGGAGAAAAGUUCUUUAAUUUGGAGACUUUGGUUACAUAGAAAUUUCAUGCUAUUAUAAUGUCUUACACUCUUCAGAUGCUAUUUAAUAUGGGUUAUAAUAUGGGGUAUACUAAAAAGUCUGAAUUGAAACACUUAACAUCAUAGAUUAAAAAUCUGUUAGUAUAUAGUUUGAGAAUCCGCACCAAAUAAAUGCGAGACCUACCCCUAUAUCAAAGACAUAUAUCUACUCUCUUCAAUUUAGUAUUUGUAUCCAAUAUUUGUACAAAUAAAUAGUCAGUCUCUUCCAUCUAAUACUAUUAUUUAUAUUUCAUCAUAACUUUCUAAAUUCAGAAAUUAGCAUAGCAUAAGAUAAAAUAAAACAACUUGUUGUCUUAACAGCAAAACUCCUUAAAUAAAAACAGACUUGGGACAAUCUCGAAACCAUAAGAAAUGACUUGUCGGAAAUUUCUUAUUCACAUUUCACAGGGGUAGGACAAGUCUGAGUCUGAUCUCAAUUUUGUCUCAUUAAUUUAAUCUCAUCAUCUACCAUUUACCUUGACCGAAUAAUGAAAACCAUUUACUCAUUCGAUUUGUUACGACAAUUCUUCAAUAUUAAAGAACUUGUGAAAGUCAGCAUCAAGACAAUAUUAAAGAAAUAUUUUCUUUAAUUAAGCUACUAGUAUAAUUAAUUAAGUAAUACAAGGUUAUUUUCUUUUAUUCUCUAGAGGAACUUGUUUGAAUGGGUCUAUGUACACGCAACAUUUAUCUACAAAAACACAGUUUCACCUUGAGGAAGCAUCCGUUGUUUUGUUAUUUUAAAAUAAAUUUCUUGAUCAAGUAGUGUGUUUUACGUAAUAGAUCAAGCUUAUUGAUUUGCAAACAUUAUUUAAUUCAGAAGGCAUUAGCUAGGGUUUUAAUAUAUAUAUAUAUAUAUAUAAUCAAAUGUUGCGUGUACAACUACUGAAAUCUCCAUCAUCAGAUUCUAAUACUCUAUUUCUGAGUAUACAACAUAAUAUAUAACAAAUCAGUUCUACAAACAAUAAUUAGUUAAAGUAAAUGAAGGUAGCUGCAGAAGAUUUGGUGAACAUACAAUCAGUAAGAAAAUUGAAAAUUUUCUUAAUAACGUUGCUUUCAAGACUUUAUUUCUAAUUAACUUUUUUUUUCUAUGCCUGAUAUAUUUAGUAGAGGAAAGUUUAAUGUAUAACAAAUUUUGCACUAUGUUGAAUCCUGUUACCAAGUAACUAAUUGUAUUUUUUUUUCUAAAUUAUUAUGAGAAAAAAAAACUUAAAUCUUCAAAGUAUAAACUCUUCAUAUUUCACGAAUGAACGUACAAAUCUUUUCAAAGUUUGGGUCAUUGUGAUCACCACUGUGCAUGCUUCUUCUCAGCCUUAAUUAUUUGCUGUUGUUAUCCCCCCCCCCCCCCCCCCCCCCGGGAAAAAAAGACUUUAUCAUAAUGUAGAUUCUAAAAAACAGUAAAUAGUCGUUAGUCCUUGUAUUUUGAAUUAAGUAUCCGUUUAUUUCUUAUAUUCAAGAAAAAAAAAUUUCUCAAAGCACUCACGCUAUUAAUAUGUUAAACUCCAACUCUUAUUUUUUUCUUUUCUUUUACAAUAAUAAACUUAUAAUAAUAUUUUUGGAGAUAUUAAUGAAAAGAAAAAAUAAUAAUUUAUCAAAUUAAUCUUAAAAGUAACAUAAAAAUUUACAGAAACUUUAUAUUAUUACUUUACUUUUAGGAUUAAUUCAGUAAAAUUAAUUUUUUAUAAAGUAUUUAUUAGUAAGAUUAUAAGUUUAUUAAACAUUGCUUUAAGUUAGCUGAUAUUAAUUUAUUCAUAAAAAUAAUUAUUUGUAAGAUUAUUGCAUAGGUACAAAAAAUACUCUUUUACACUGGAAUUUAUUGGUUAAUUUGCCAAUAGAUAAAUAUUGAUUAAUUUGCUAGUUAACUUGUUUAUAGAUAAAUUAAUUAAUAUCAAGAAUAUUAUUGAGAGGUUAUUAUUGUAAAAGAAAAGAAAAAGUAAAGGUAAGAAUGUAACAUAUUUAAUUGUAGGAGUGUUUUGAGAUAUUUUUUAAAAUAUAGGGAUUAAAGUGACAAACACUUAAGUCAAAAUAUAAAAACUAAACGAGCAUGUACCCCUUUAAAAAAAAGUCUAAUGGUACAUUUGACGUGCCCUAAUAAAUUAAAAAGCCGUUUGUAUCUUCUCUUAAAAUGUUGUGAGUCUACUAAUAAAAACAAGCCUUAGGAGUUUGAGUGUUAAAUUUUCCCUUUAUCUUAUUAUCCCUUUUUUUCAAGAAAAAAAAUGUUGUCCACAUAAUUUCCCUCAGAGGUUGACUUCUAAUUAAGUUCUAACUAACUAAUUGACUUCUAAUUAAGUUCUAACUAAUCUCACACUUUAUAUUAAUCUCAGGGAUCUAACCAAGUUACAGCCGGCUGUAACGUACUCUUCUCACAUGAGUAGUAGCACACUGGCAUUUGCAUGAUUUUUGUGAGAAAAGUAAGUUACAGCCGACUGUAACUAAGCAUUUGCAUAAUUUCGGAGAAUGGACUUGAAUUCAACGAUGUCUCAUUCCAUUAUUUUCAUUUUUAUUUUUUGAUAACAAAAAAAAAUAAUAAUUGAAUGAGACAUCAUUGAAUUCAAGUCUCAGUUAAUAGUUUUGGAAGAUAAGAAUGAAUUUAAAAUUAGAUGCAUCAAAGUAUCAGUCAUGGUCACAGUCCAAGUAAUUUUCGUUUUGCUAUUACUAACAGAUCCAAGUAAUCAGUUAAGCUUUCAAUCAAAUUAUAAAAUUGGGCCGUCACUAGUCAAAAGUCACAACUCACAAACCAAUAGCUACUUGCGGGUAAAAAAAUUUCACAAAUUGUUUUCCCUUUUUUAUCAUUUUUAAACUUGGAAUGCGUAAGGUCGUGCUUGCGUAACCCAACAUUGUAUUUACAAAAUUCAAAGGCUAUUAAAUCUUACCCUGCUAAUUCAACUGACCCUGUCUUGAACAAUAAAACAGAAAGGCAAUAAAUGAAGCAAUGAAAGAUUGCCUAGAUGAUCUAAAUCCUUUAUCAGCUGGCUCCAAAGCAAGUGAACCAAUGAAAGAUCACCAACAUAGUCUGCGCUGAGCUCUGAAUUCAAAUGAUACUCACCCACCAUCGCUUGACAGCCUCAAUAUCCGCAAAUGCCACUUGCCAUACAAUAUCUCUAGAAUCUGGAGGAUAAUACCAUAUCUCAUAAUCUGUCCUCAUUACAUAAAGCAAAUCUUCAGAACCAUUCGCAUAAAUAUGAAACUCUUCUUCAUUGCACGGAAGCCCUGAGCCUAACGUAGAUGCUGAAUUAUCUGAACCAUGACUGCAAAUCAUUCUACCCGACUUGGCAUCAACAAAGAACACUCUAGUUUUUUCAUAGCCAAAUAAAAGUGCACUGUCAUCCCAUACAUGUGGCAUCUUUUUCAUAAACUCUUCAACAUCUAUAGAAGGUUUCUGCUAAACAAAAAAAUCACAUUAGCGUAAUGCAAAUAUACAAACUUAACUUGCAAAUAAAGUACAUAUGACAGCAGAAUGUGGCAAAUGACAAGAUGUGUUCUUAGUUAUUCAUAAAUAAUAAAAUGACAAAGUCAGCAACUCUCACUCACGAAAAUUAAUAAAAUAAUAGGUGUAACAAUUAGCAGGGAUACCUAUUAAUAAAAUAAUAGGUGUAACAAUAAGCCUGGUUUUGUAGUGAGAAUUGGAGUUUAUUAGAAUUUGUAAUAAGGUGUUUGGAAACAAAGAAAAACAGAGAAAAUGAAAUGGAAACUUCUCGAUAUUAUUAUUAAAAUGAUCAAUACAGUUAUCAACUUUUCUUAGCUCAGAUUAUAAGCUAUUAUUCUAACUAAUAACAACUUAGAUUUAGUUCAGCCACUUAGCACUUGCCACAUGUCAGGCAGUUAUAUUCUACUUGACACGUCAGCUUGAGCUUGCACUAUCUGCUCUGCUUGAUUCACACGUGCUUCAUCACACUCAAGCUAUUGCAGCUACUCUAUUCAGCUCAGCUUCAACUAUAUCUUCAACAUCCCCCCUCAAGCUCAACUGAGGAAGUAAGGUUGAGCUUGUCAUGUAAGUAAUGAAAAGGAUGAUAAGAGAGACCUUUGGUGAGAAUAUCAGCAGUCUGUUCUGACCUGAAAAUAUACUGAACUUUAAGACAUUGAGCAGCAACUUUCUCUCUAAUAAAAUGAACAUCUAAUUCAAUGUGUUUUAUUCUGGAAUGAAACUUGGGAUUAGAAGCUAAAGCUGUUGCACUUUGAUUAUCACACCAUAUGAUUGGAAUGGAAGAAAGAGUAAUACCAAUCUCAGCAAGAAGAGAUCGAAUCCAUAAGACUUCAGCUGCUGCCAUUGCUAAUGCUCGAUAUUAAGACUCAGCACUAGAUCGAGAUACCACUGCCUGUUUCUUACAGCACAAAGACACCAGAUUUGGACCCAUAUAAACACAAUAACCAGCCACAGAUCUCCUAUCAUCUUUGUCCCCAGCCCAAUCAGCAUCACUGAAACAGUCAAUCUGGAUGCUACCAUGAUUGUAGAACUGUAAACCAAGCCUAAUAGUGCCCUUUAGAUACCGUAAAAUCAUUUUACAAGCCUGCCAAUGAUUGACAGUAGAAGAAGAAACUGACUAAGUUUGUUGACAGAGAAGGCAAUCUCUGGUUUGGUCAAGGUUGCAUACUGAAGAGCACCUAUAGUGCUUCUAUAUAGAGUAACAUCAGAGAAAGAUUCACUAUCACCUUUAGUAAAUGCCACUCCAGAAACCAUAGGAGUAGAACAAGGUGUACUAUCCUGCAUUUGCACCUUGUCAAGCAGAUCAGUGAUAUAUUUGGAUUGGGAAAGAUGAAUACCAGAUUUGUUGUACAGAACUUGAACUCCCAUAAAAUAAUUCAAUGCACCAAGAUCUUUAAGUGCAAAAGCAGACUGGAAAUUGGUGAUAAUCUGCUGAACAAGCUGAGAAUUGGAGCCUGUAAUGAUGAUAUCAUCUACAUAUACCAAGACAAGCAGUAGAUGACCUUGUGUUCUCUUAAAGAAGAGUGAAGUGUCUGAAAUAGAAUUUGUAAAGCUCCACUGAGUUGUAAGAACCAAUUUGAGUCUAUCAAACCAUGCCCUUGGAGCCUGUUUAAGCCUAUAGAGAGCUUUAUGCAACUUACAGACAUAAUCAGGCUUUGAACUAUCUAUAAACCCCUGAGGUUGUUGCAUAUAAACCUCUUCAGUUAAGUGGCCCUUAAGGAAGGCAUUGUUAAUGUCUAUUUGCCUGAGUACCCAAUGAUUCAUUACUGCCAUACUCAAAAUAAUUCUUAUAGUUGAGGACUUGAUGACAGGGCUAAAUGUUUCAUUAAAAUCCAACCAUUGAGUCUGAUGGAACCCCUUAGCAACAAGUCUAGCCUUGUAUCUAGAGACACUCCCAUCAGGAUUGUAUUUAAUCCGAAAUACCCACUUAUUCCCAAUUACUUUAACGGGAUGUGUAGGUUUGACAAGAGUCCAGGUAUGAUUGUGAAUUAAGGCUUGAUAUUCAUCUAUCAUGGCUUGAUGCCAAGUAGGAUCUUGAAGAGCUUUUGAGGCAGUAGCAGGUUCUGUAGGUUUAGUAGGAGGGGUUGUAAUAUAGGCUUUAGGUUUGAAUAUACCAGUCUUUGAUCGAGUGACCAUUGGAUGACUAGUAGAAGAUUGUAAUGGUGGAGUUAAAUGAUGAACAGGUGGGGUAGAUGGUUCUGUGGGUGAUGAAACAGCAGGAAAAAGUGAUUGUAUAAGAGUCUGAGAAAGGGAACUUGGAGAGGACAGAGAGAAAUUGAGAUCAGUUGCUGUUGAGGAUGAAGACUUGGUUAUAUCAAGUUGAAUCAAAGGACAAACAGAAGAAGAACAAGAGUGAGUAACUAAGGAGAAAUCAACUCCUGACUGAAAAGGAAAACAUGACUUAUCAAAUGUAACAUGGUUACUGACAUAGAUUAUACCAGAAGAAUGAAGACACAAGUAACCUUUAUGAAGAGAGUUGUACCCAAGAAAAAUACACCUAGCAGUUCGAAACUCUAGUUUGUGAUGAUUAUAUGGCCUCAGAUAUGGGAAGCAAGCACACCCAAAGACUCUCAUAACAUAGUAAUCUAGCUUUUUUGUGAAUGGUUUUUCAAAUGGCGAUUUGUUAUCUAGAAUGGGUGUAGGUAGCAUGUUUAUGAGAAAUGUGGCAGUGUGGAAAGCAUUCCACCAAAAUUUGAGUGGUAAAUGUGCUUGAGCAAGGAGAGUAAGACAUGUUUCCACUAUAUGUCUAUGUUUACGUUCAAUUUUUCCAUUCUGAUGAUGAAUGUAAGGAUAAGGGUGUCUAAAUUGGAUUCCCUGCUCAGCAAGAUAAGGAAGAAAUGGCCUAAACUCACGUUCCCAAUCUGUUUGGAGGCAUUUGAUUUUCCUAUUCAAACAUUUUUCUAUCAUAUGCUGGAAUUCAAUAAAAGUUUGUAAGGCUUGAGACUUGGUAACAAGAGGGAAUAUCCAAGUGAAUCUAGUAAAGUCAUCUAAGAUUGAAAGAUAGUAAUGAUAGUCUUGUGAGGACAGCAAAGGAGCUGGUCCCCAUAGAUCAGCAUGCAACAAUUCCAGUGGUUGAAUGGUAGUGGUAUCUAUAGAGGGAAAAUACUACAUGUGACAUUUGCCAAAUUGGCAAGCAUUACAGAAAAUUGGUUUGAGGGCUCUAUUGAUAUCGAGAGAAGGAUUCAAAUACUUUAUAAUUUUUUUAAGAGCAUGCACUGUAAGAUGACCCAUUCUCUUAUGUAAAAUAUUGUAAUCAACUGACUUUGAGUAAGCAACUGACAGGGCCAUUGAGGCUUCAUUAUUGAAUUGAGAAUUAUUUACAGCUGACAGAUUUCAUCAGAAUGUAUAGAAUUGGAAACAUUGGAAUGACUAAUCAUAGACACUGGAUAAGAAUAGACACUUGAAACAAGACUUGAAUUUGAGGUGACAAAUAAAGCAUUAGACUGGACUUUAUUUGAAACUACAGCAUGAGACACUGCAACAAGACCUUCAACUUAAUAUAAUCCUCCUUUAGCAAUCCCCUUGAGCAAAAUGAUCCCCGAGUUCUUGUCCUUGACAAAACAAGAGGUUUUAUGGAAUUCAACAACAACAUCAUUGUCAGCUAGUAGUUUAGAUACAUUUAAAAGAUUUUUGGUUAUACCUGGGACAUGCAAAAUAUUAUUGAGAUAGAUAGGUGUGGCAGCAAGUGUAUUCAAUAUUGUGCAACCAACAUGUUUACUAUGCAACCCCAUGCCAUUACCUACAUGUAGCUUGUCAAUACCAUGAUAAACUGAGUAAGAUGAGAAGAUACAUGCUUCUUUUGUCACAUGAUUUGUGGCCCCUGAGUCAAUAUACCAAGCAGGAUCAGCUACAACUCCAUAAUCAGCAACUGGAGCAGUAGGAGCAAUUGAUGCAGUAGGAACAGUAGGUGGAACAACUCCAUAGUUAGCAAAUGGAGUAGCAACAUUGUAUUGGCCUUGAAUCAUAGGAAACCCUUGAGGAUACAGAACAUUGGCAGUCUGAUAUACAACAUUCCCUUGAAACAUAGGUGCAUUAUAUCUAGGAGUACCAGUUGCAGCUCCAUAAAAACCACCAUAACCUCUGCCAUACAUGUUCUGAGACUGACUAGGAAAACCUUUGUAAUUAAAUCCACCUCUAGGCAUAAAGCCACAUCUUCCUUGCCUAGGAAUAAAAUUCUGAUUAAAUCUGUUCCUACAUUUGUAUGCUCCAUGACCAGGAAUGAAGCAUAUUUGACAAAUCACUUCCUUAUCAACAUUGUAUCCUCCUUUGCCAUUAUCCAUUCCAGUAAAACUUCCACCAUUAAAACCUCUCUGAUUAACAUUAUUAAACUUAUUGUAAUUCUGUCCUUUCUGAGCAAAAUUAGCUGACAUAUCGUGCAUUAACUCAUUUUGCACUUUUCCUUUACUCAUCUCAACUCUAAUUUCAUGAUUAAGCAUUAAGGAAUACACUUCUUCAACAGUGAGACUAUCUUUUUCUACCCUAGCAAGUAUAGUUGUCACAAGUGACUCGUAAUUGUCAUCUAAACCAGUGAGCAAAUGCAUUAUAAAAUCAGUUGAAGCAAGAGGAUUACCACCAAUAGCUAAGCUGUCUGCAAUUUUUUUCAUCUUGUUGAAGUAAUCAUUUUGACAAAGAGGAGAAAAGUUUUGUUGGGUUGUUUAGUCUCAUCAUUUUGAAGCUACUAAUUAGUAAUAAGGUUUGAUAUUUUGACGACGGAUAGCUCUUGUUUAUAUAGAGAUGUCGCUGAUAUGACAAAAUAUCACAAAUUGGUCAUUUCACAUACAUUGAUUACAUGUCUGUCUAGGAGUCGACAUAGUCUAGGGUACCGCUGCAUUGCCUCCCUUCCAUUGAUUCCAUGCUAUGAGUGUUGACCUUUUUUUUUUAAAUAAUUGAUCGACAUAUGAGUACAAAUAAUAAGAGUAUGAAGUCAUAUUUGGGGGUCAUUUGGCCAAAACUUGUCGCGUGGAAUUGGAAAAGAUUAAAAGGUCUCAACUCUGUACUUGCUGAUUUAGAAUUAGUAGUUGUUCAUCUUAAAAAGAUAUAUAAAUUAUAAAAAUUUGGAUCCACACCUCGUCUGAACCCUGCAUUCUCAUACAUCUUUACAUCAGUGGCACGAGAUAACAAGGCAUGCGCCUAAAUGUCUUGGUAGCAAAAUCUCCUUAAACUAUAGAAUUUUGGACUAGUUAUCUCAAAGCUCAAAGAUAUGAUUUGUCUGAAGCUCCGCAAUCCAUUCUUUAAACUCAAUAAUGGAGUGGGACAUGUCUGAGUCCUAUAUUGUCUUACUCUGCAAACUCCAAGAUUUCAUCAUUUUUGUCUCAUUUCAUGAUCUACCGUUUACCUUGACCAAAUCAAACCGUAUAUAUUUCAAAAAAAAGAAAAAGUCACAAGAAAAAUACGCGUAUCUUUUGCUUCGUACAACGUACCAAAGCCACAAAAACAGCUUUGAUUUUGCAAUAAUAAUAACCUUGCCAUAGUCAGCAUAAAAACUAAUUAAGUAAUUAAUAUUUCCUAGUCAGCGUCAAAAUUAAUUAUGGUAAUUAAUAUUUCCUGACGCUAGGUUUUAUUUUUGUCUGUGGAGGAAGUAAAUAAUAUUAUUUGAAUGAGUCUAGCUAUUGAGUAUUGACAGUGCUUAAUAUAUCGCAACGACAUUAUCUUUACUUCGUGGAAGCAUCCUUUGUCAUGUCACAAUAAAUUUCUUGAUCAAGUACUGCGUUGUACGUGACCAUCAAUUAAGCUUAUUGACUCGCAAAGAUUCUCAAGGCAGUAGCUAGAGUUUUAAAUUUCAAUCGAAGGUUGCGUGUGUCUAACUUUACCUAUUAGUGAAAUUUCCAUCACCGGAUUCUGUAAAUUCUAAAUUAAAACAGAUAAACACAUAUUAGCUGCAGAUGACUUUGGUUAAUAAUAUAUAAAAAUUCCUUAAUGACAUUGCUUUCAAGACUUUAAUUAUUUUUAAUUAACAUGGGUGUUUUUUAAUAGAUAAAUUUAGAUGAUUUAAGAAAGUUGAAUGAGUAUGACAAAUUUUGAAAACAUCAAGUCGGACUUAACUGCUACUGCGAACCAUACGCAUACCACCACUUUUUUUUUUUGUUGCCCCCGGAUCGUUUUUUGAAAAGCAUAUCCUGGGUUUAUGGUAAUCGAUGUAUGAGUGCAGCUUUUUUGUUGAUUCUUCUGAGAAAUUGUUGUUAUUUUGUGAAAAUCUAGAAAAAAAUAGAGUUCAAAAGAAUUUAUUGAAUGCAUCCAAAUAACCUUAAAACACUGAUUUCAAAAAAAUACGUGUGGUCAUUUUAAAACAUUAGAGACCUACGACUACAUUUGGACAAAUCCUGGAAGUCUUGACCAACUCUUGGUGUCAUUUUCUCUUUUAAAAAAAUACGCGCAGUUUGCACAAGAAGUUGACUUCCACGUUUAACUAACUCAUUGUACGUCUUAUUCAAUUGGUGUUUGUAAGAGCAGAAGGAAAUUUCAAUUAGAAUUCUACAUCACGGUCUCAUUCAUGGUCGCACUCCCAAGUAAUUUCGUAUUUAAUUGAACAACUCCAUUUAUUAUCUGUUUAUUCCAGUUUUCUGUCUGUAUUCAUGGCCACGGUCCCGAGUAAUUUCGUUCUAUCUCGCUUCUGACUGAGUUUUGUGAGAUAGAUGCAUAGGAAUGAUUCGUUAAUUGUAAUUUUCUCGACAAUUUUUGAGUACUCACCAUCAUCGAUUAACGCUUGUUUAAUAAAGAUUAGUGGUGUGGAAGCAAGCAGCUAUUUUGCUGAACAACAUCAGUUCUUCCAGUUAUUAUUUUCUUUUUUUAUUUCUUGAUAGUAUUUGAUCAUGCUUGAUUCGAUUUCCUGUGGUGAUUAGGUUGCUGGAUUAAUCAUUAGAAUCAUUGACGUUCAGAGAUCAAAUCUAGAUAUUGAUUGUAUUCAUCCUAAUUUGUGGCUAUAUUAUUUGUCAUUCAAGCAUCUCACAGCAGCUGCAGCUUAGAAGUUCCAAAUUCUCACCCCCAAACGCACCCAAUAUCUAGGGUUGACCAUGUAGAUUAGGAUUUGGAUCACCAGACUCGGUUGAAGGGCUUCCAUGCUCUCCGAAGAAACUAAAGUUGGAAUCUGUGUGCUGCGAAUCGCUUGAAGGAUUAGGUGAGUAGCCAGUGUGUGGAGAGGCUUCAGUUACACCUGUACUAUGAACUUGGACGCCACGUUUGUCUCUGAAAUUAUGAGCGCUGAGGUCUCUUGAAGCAAAUAUUUCGAGUAAAAUGCGAAUUCUUGACAACAGUGAUGAUCUGGGAUCUGAUCUCUUCAAGACAUUUCUGUGCUCACAAACAAAAACGGCCAAGAAAAUGAUGAGAGCAGAGCUUGCAGCAGUGCCGGCAAUUAGAAACAGUCCCCGGAAACUGUUAAGGCCAAGGCUGUGAGAAGAACCCGCCUUACUUGCAUCUGGGCAACUAGCACGUUUCUUGAACCAUUCAUCUUCAAUUUCUUUCAUUUUAUCUCCUUCAGUCACAUUCAAGAUUGCCCUUGAAACUUCAGGUACCAGAGGGGAAUGUAAUGGGAAGGCCUGCAGAUCACCAAACUAAAAGAAAAUCAGCACGAGAAACUAUUGUGCUUCUGCUUAAUUUUGGGAGCAGAGCAGCUAUAGGCUCUAUGUAGUAUUGUGAUGCUGUGGCUUUUAAUCGAUAUAUGCUGUUGUUGAAUGAAAAUUUUUACAGUCAAGGGAAAGCUAAUAGGUGUAUGUUAGACACUAUUGGCUAUCAAACAAACGUAAUACUUAGCUUUGGCGGCCUAGCAGCAAAACCUCUGAUCUAAACUCAAUCAAAGUGUUUGGUAAAUGCCCACUUAUACUCGGCAAUUAUGUUAAUCAAUCACCUAUUGCUCAUCCUUUGACGGUUAAAAAGCUGCUGUUUCUCAAUCUCAAAUAUACACUAACAUACUGGGAUGGAAAGAGAGAAAUUUUGAGAACUUACAAAGCCAAACCCAGCUGUCUCGAAUGUUCGUUCAAUCAGUGUAUAUUUGGAGCAAUAUUGUCCAAUAAAUGGCUUCGUGUAGGGGAUUUCAUCAAAAGCAGCUGCGAUACCACCAUCGGCACUUCCUUUUUGAAAAAGUUCAUCACAUUCUUCGGGAGAACUAUACGCUAUCAGUUUCUUCUCAUCAAAGCCUAAUUGUUUCAAUAUUCCAAAAACAAACGAAUCCUUGUGGUAGCCCACAUUAUCCCCACUCUUUAUCAGCAUUUGAAAAUCAGUAAUAGUUGGCUGCAGUUGCUGGACAGUCAGUAGCGAAGACAAGCUAGCUGUGUAGCUUUGAGUGAGAAUAAGCACAACAAAAUACCAUACAAUCAUCACAAAUCUGGCCAAGUUGCUUAUCACUCUUUCCCCUGUAUACAUGUAAAAUUGGACGAAACAUGUCAAUGUAAUACCUUGCAUGAUGAAUAUGAUCGCAUUAGUUUCUAAUAAAAAUUAUAAAAGGUGGAGGUGAAGUCAAUUACUAUGUGAAAAGACCAUUGUUGAGAACGAGAACCAGAAGCUUGUGCCAACUUGAUGCUGAGCAGGGCCACGAAAGUCUUCAUUUACUCUGUGUUCAAGGACCCACACUACAAAUCCAAUGAAAAUGAAAAAACAACCACUAGUCACCCACAGGUCCAAAGUCAGAGGCUGCAGGAAUACCCAUGCAUUUUUCUUCUUGUUGUCUUUUAUUGGCACGAUCAUGGACACUCCGGAUUCUGUGUAUGGUAGUGUAAAUUCUACAAACUUUGAUCUAUUAGCCAAAAUUGUUGUAUCGCCCACCACAGCAUCAAAUUUCUGUUCACAUACACCCAAAUUUUAAAAAAAAAAAUCUUAUAAUUGUUUAAGAUGUGAGCAAUCUUAAAAUUUAGCAUCAGUACGAGGAAGGAUUAAAGAAUUGUUACCCCACGAAAUACUUGGUAGAUCAAAUCAUUGUAUGAACCGGAACUGGUGCCAUCAGGCUGUGCAUAGGGGACAAAAUCAUAAGCAACAGCAUAUGGCAAUUCCUCAAUGACAGCUUUAAACACAGCUAUAGAAUAUCCAGUGACUGAUGCUGAUUCUCGAGUAUUUGGAUCAAUUGUCACCUUCACAAAAUCACUAAAGCCUUUAGUUACGGGCACUCCAAUACGUAGCUUCCUCUUAUUCGUAGGAAUCUCCCAUCCCUUCGGAUCAGAAGUAGAAUCCCCUGGCCAUAUGAUGGGUCUAAGUUUGGAUUUUGUAGUCGAAUUUGAUCUCAGUUUCAGCGUUAGUCCUUUUUCUGGUGUCCAAAAUCCAACCCCUCUUGCCCCAUUAUUGACAUUAAUAAUCUCAAAAGCUGAAGAUUGUAACUGCCCAUCAACAAAAACGUAGUCCCCUGUAAGCCCUUUGAAUCUUGUACUUGACAAAGCUUGGAGAAGUUUUGGACCAUUCCGAGAUAUACCAAAAGCUUCAAGAUCAGUUGCAUUGCUAGAAACAUUAGUCUUAUCAAAGCCAAAACUUGUGAUACCGGCUUUCUCAACUGCCACGGCCAGUGCCCUUGUAGCAUCAUAACCUAAUAACCCCAAAAUGUUCAAUUCAACAUAAAAAAGGGACGGAUUCUCCUGCAAAAAUUUCCUUUUCCAUCGAACUCUAAAAUUUUCGAAUGCCUUUGUUUUCGGAACAUAAGGUCUCACACCUAUCACUCCUUGCAUUGAAUCAAUCACUGAAGGCUCUAAUGUUCUUAACAAAUUGGUCAUGCCAUCGGUCAUGAUCCACACACAGCCUUUAUUCAUCAAACCAAUUUCGUUUGCUUUCUCAAAAAUCCUAGAGCCAAGGGAAGGCAACAUAUGCAAAAUGAACACUCUGGUUUGCAUUGUGAAUAGUUUGUAGAGCUCUUUUUCAAUUUGAUCGUCAGUAGCCAAAGGAGAAAUGACACUUCUAUACGGCACCCGAGUGUCAAUGGCUUGAAGGGCGUCAGUUAGUGAAGGAAUCAUUUCUUCUCCGUAUUGAUUAUCUACAUAAAUGGGCACAGCUUCUCUCCAACCAAAGGCUUUGAUUAUUGCAGUUAUGGCACCAACUUGAGAUGAGUCAUUUAGGGAACCUCUAAAGAAGUAUGGACUCCUAAUGGAAGUAAGCGAAGGACUUGUUGCGGAAAAUGAUAAAAUGGGCACUUGUGAUUUGUUGCCUAGUUGAAUUAUAAAGUUGGUCUGCAUGGAAUUUUCUGGUCCCAGUAUGGCUUGUACUUGUACAUUGUUUAGCAAGUCCAGAGCUGUGAAUUGACCAAAGAAAAUUGUGAUUCACUUUCAAUCCGCAAAAAAAAUUAAAAUAAAAAUAAAACUAGAAAGAAAGAUAUGUAAAAUUCCUGGCAAAUUCCUUCUCCCUUACAAAACAUUAUUUUACACAGUUUGAUAUUUUUGUUAAAGCCAUAUGCUACAUCACUCGAAAUACAAACUCUGUACACCUAACAUCAUUAUAUUAAGGACAAUUUUUGUUCAGUUAUAUUAUAAAUCUCUGUGCUUUUGCUCGAAAGAGAAGCAUUCCACAUUUGUCAAAACUUAUAAUUUGGCCUCCAUCUUGAAUAAGAAAUCCUCGUGUACUGACAAAUUAAAAGCUACGAAAUUGAAUUUUCAGAUAAAACUCUGCCAUGUUUGGAUGAUAGGAUUAAGUAUAGGAUUGGAUUAAUUUUCAGAUUAAAUAUUUAUCUCAUGUUUGGCAAGCUUAAUUGGACUAGAUUAAGGGGACUAAAUUUGAAUUUAUUCCUAAAAUCACAGGACUAAUAAUAUUGAUUUACAAAUGGGUUUAGAUGGGAUAAGAUUUAAAGAAAAAAAAUUGUCCAUUUAUGAGACUUUAUUACACCAAAUAUUAAUUAAUUAUUUUUUUAUUUAUGAUUUACAUAAAAUUUAUUUUUAUUUAUUAUCUAUGAAUUAAUUAAAUUGGUACUUUGAAAACAAUAAAAAAAAUCCUUAUUAUUUCAGUAAUAUCGUUUCCCCUCUCAUAUUUCAAAAUUCAUCAUCAUUGAUCAAUAAGAAUUUCUGGAAAUAAAAGAGGAAAAGAUAUGAAAAUGUCGAAAGUUUACACAAAUUUUUUACGACAACGAGGUUAAAUUUGCUGAUCUUUCCCUAUGAGAAUUUUAACUUGAGUAAAUACACGUUUUUGGACAUUGGUAGUGCUUAAUAAAUAGAAAUAUGGUAAGAUAAAUCGCAACUAAGAAGAAGCGAGAGAUGGCGAAUAAUGAGUGGGUACCUGCGGCAGCUGCAGCAACGACAUCUCCUUUGGAAUUCCUGGUGUUAAGCAGAAGCCUGGUUUUGUAGUGAGAAUUGGAGUUAUAAAAAUCUGAGAGGCUCAUCUUGAUGCAACUCAGAGCUAUCUUCCCAUCUUCUCCAUUCAUGUCAAGAACUAACCCCACAUUUACUGGAAUUGUUGUGUUUUUUGACGUGGCUGUGUUAGUCAAGAAGAAUAAGAUCAUUAGAGGAAUCAGAAAGAAUGGGAAAGAGGAAAAACUUUUUGUUGGGUUGUUUAGUCCCAUCAUUUUGAAGCUUAUUUUAGUAAUAGCUACGGUUUUGAUAUUUUGAUGGAGUCAUGGAGUGCUUUUGCUCUUAUAUAGUGUUAAAAGAUUUGAAAAGUAUGAAUUAUACAAUUAAUGCCUAUAGAAUAAGCAAGUACUUGACUCUGUCUCUGCAUGGAAAGUAUAUCGUAAUAGAAACAAGAGGAAAAUUCUUUUGGAAACUUUGGCUGCAUGGAAAUUUCAUCACAUACACCUCCUAACGUAUUUAACACUUUAGCAGCAAAGCUUUAGCCUUUUGGAUGCUCUCGAUGCAUUGCACUUACGUCACUGAAUUUGGGAAAAUGAUCGAAAUUCUUUUUUUUUUUUUUAAAUGAUUGAAAUCCCUAUUAAAUUUUAAAAUGCACUGAAAAUCUUUGGCGAUAAAAUUAAUUUUGUCUUUCAAAAAUUUAGUCGGUCAAUUUUUCAACAAAAACAUACAUUUAUCAGAUUUUCAAAAACCAAAUUGUUCUUAGAGAAAGUAAUUCGGUCAUUACAACUUCAACACUAAGGAGUUUCAAAGGAUUUAAAAAACCAGGAGGGGAAUUUCGAUCAUUUUCCACCACUGAAUUUCUACCUCAUAUAUAAAUUAAUUUAUUACUGAUUGAGAAGUGCAAAUGAAAAAAAAUCUAAAAAGAUGCAGUACACCAAAAGUAGAUAAGAAAAAAAAAUAUAGAAGUCAAAUUUUAGCACACGUCAAAUAAUUGUUAACUGAUUUACUAAGGAUUGGUAGCAAUCUAAAUUCGAGAGAUCGGUUUGGAUUUAGAAAGCAUUGUUAUCUGGUCUGCAUGUGAGUGUGUAUACAAAUACAUUUGUAAAUUUGUUACGCUCUUCGGAUACCAUAAAAUAUGGGGUUUAUUAAAAGUCUGAAUUGAAAAACUUAACAUAGAUUAAAAAUCUGUUAGUUUAUAGUUUGAAAAUCUGCACCAUUUAAAUGCGAGAUAUACCUCUAUAUCAAAGGGAAAAAGAUCCUCUCAUAAUCUGAGCUCUCAUGAGUUUUUGAAGAUCUUGUGUCAUGUGUCUUUAAGUGAUAGUGUAUGAAUAUAAUUUAACUUCUUUACUUUUUUUAUUUUAUUAACAACCAAUUACCACAUGUAUGUUUGCUCAGGAGAAGAUCAAAUCGCGAGCAAAUCCCGAUCCAUAUCAAAGACGUAUAUCUACUCUCUUCAAUUUAAUAUUUGACUAUUUGUAUUCAAUACUUGUAUAAAUAAAUAGUCAGUCUCUUCCAUCUAAUAUUGUUAUUUAUAGAGCAGUGCAUCUUCAAUUUUUUUAUCUCAAAAAAUUAUCUCAAAUAAUGUGGUAUUCAUAAACUAAUUGGUGAAAUAAUACAAUUAAUUCACUUAGAUUUUGUUAAGAAUUACCAACCACUCAUUUAAUAACACAACAUUUGGGAUUAAAAAAUUUAGGAUGUGUAUUUUUAUUCUUAUUUAUAUUUCAUUAUAACUUUCCAAGUUCAAAAAUUAGCAUAGCAUAAGAUAAAAUAAAAUAGCUUGUUGUCUUAAUAGCAAAGCUCCUUAAAUAAAAAUUGACUUGGGACAAUCUCGAGGCCAUAAAAUAUGAUUUGUCGGAAAUUUCUCAUUCACAGGAGUACUAGGACAUAGCUGAGUCUGAUCUCUAUUUUGUCUCAUUAUCUGAGUCUGAUCUCAAUUUUGUCUCAUUAAUUUACUUUCAUCAUCUAUCAUUUACCUUGACCAAAUAAUCAAAACCAUUUACGCAUCCGACUUGUUACGACGUAUCAAAGACACAAAACCAGAAUCCCCAAAAUUCUUCAAUAUUAAUGAACUUGCGAAAGUCAGCAUCAAGAUAACAUUAGAGAGAUAUUUUCUUUAAUUAAGCUACUAGGAUAAUUAAUUAAGUAAUACAAGGUUAUAUUCUUUUGUUCUCAAGAGGAAACUUGUUUGAAUGGGUCUACGUACGCGCAACAUUAAUUAACCACAAAAACACAGUUUCACCUUGAGGAAGCAUCAGUGAUUUUGUUAUUUUUAAAUAAAUUUCUUGAUCAAGCAGUGUGCUUUACGUAAUAUAUCAAGCUUAUUGACUUGCAAACAUUAUUUAUUUCACAAGGCAUUAGCUACGGUUUUAAAAUAUAUAUAAAACACACACACACAUUUAAAAUUUUCUAAUUCAUAAUUUUAUAAGUACGGGAAGAUUCAAGAAAUCGUUAAAACCGCACGAUUUUAAAGUUUUGUUUUAUAAUAUUAUUAAACCCUAUGGUUUUAAAAUUUUCCCGAACAUUUCCUGCACUUUAAGAUCACGUACCAAAAAACUACUAUCUAUAUAUAUCAGUGAUUUUUCAAUAAGAGAUCACUAACUUUAAUAAAGUCAUAGAUUAGUUAAAAAACAAAAAAAAUUAGAUUUCAAUACAUUAUAUGACAAAAUUCAGUGCAUUGAAAUCUAUGUUUAUUUUAUCUUUUAACUUGUCCCUAAUUUUAUUAAAAUAAAGGAUCAUGAUUGAAAAACUAUAUAUAUGCUACUGAAAUCUCCAUCAUCAGAUUCUAAUAUUUUAUUCUGAAUGUACAAUACAAUAUAUAACACAUCAGUUCUACCAACAGUAAUUAGUUAAACUAAAUGAAGGUAACUGCCAAAUAUUUGGUGAAUAUACAAUCAGUAAGAAAUUUAAAAAUUUCUUAAUAUUGUUGCUUUGAAGAUUUUAUUCCUAAUCAACGGUUCUCUCUCUCUCUCUCUCUCUCUCUCUCUCUCUAUAUAUAUAUAUAUAUAUAUUUGAGAAAUGUUCAAUUCUGUUGCCAACUAUCUUUUUUUUUAAUAAUAAUUAUUAUUAUUUUAGAAAAAAAAAACUUAAACUUUCAAAGUGUAAACUCUUAAUAUUUCACAAAUUAACAUGCAAAUCUUUUCAAAGUUUGGGUCAUUGUAAUGAAAUGACCCGCCCCGAAUUCCUAGGACGAGUCUAUCUAAUCUCGCCUAUUCGAAUUAAUAAUAAUUAUCAUAUCUAAGAAUUUUACCAAAAUUCGACAGAGUCUCCCCUAUAAAUAUAACAUUUCCAAACCUGUAAUUUACAAAACAACACUCCUAAAAAUAAUUCAAUAUCCAACUAUCCUUCAUAACCAACUUCUCAAGUCAACAUACCAAAUAUCACCCAAAUCAUUCUAAUAUUAAAAUACAAUGGUUAUCCUUAAUUACAAAAUAUAACAAAUAAUACAAUUCGCAAUAUCCCAAAUAUCAAAAUAUUAAAUCUACGACUCUUAGCACCAUCACGUGGCCAUAAUUUCAAUCUAACUAUUGUUGUUGGGUCGACUGAUGUACUUGCAAAUUUUCUGUGGGGGGGGGGAAUAUAAUAAAAAUGGGUGAGUAUAAAACUCAGUGAGCUCAGUAAGUGGAUAAUAGUUUUUAGAAAAAUAAAUUUAUUUAAAAUAACUUAAUCUUUCCCAAAACAAUUUCAUCAAAAUAUUAUAAGAACUUACAUAAACUUAUUUAAUUCAAAUCAUGCACUGAAAUAACAAUAUUACAUAAAUCUACAUAAAAUUAAUGAAAUCAUAAUACUUAUAAUAUCAAAUAUUGAAUACCAAAAACUAUCAUCAAACAAGUACCCAGGGGAAUGAUCUCAUCAUAUCCGGACCUCGACGGACGGGCAAUCAGGGAACCAUCAUGCUCCGGAACUACAACGGAUAGACGGGGAAAUGUCAUCUCAUAUCUCAUGUAUCUCAACAUCUGUAUCUCUGUAAUCAUCAUACUGCAUGCAUAAGCCCCCAAAAGGCAAUAGCGCCCAAACACACGGCCCAAAGCCUCUGUGUGUGUUUAGACGGCCCCAAAGACCUCUCAUCUCAUAUCAUCUGUAUCACUGUAUUCAUCUCAUAUAAACUGUAUCUCUAUAUCUGAAGGGAAAGAGUAUUGUUGUCCAAUGAUUUUCCAAACAACCUUUUAUACACAUGUACAUAAACAUAUAAUCACAUCUGAAAUCUCAUUUCCUUUUUAUUUAACAUAUCUCAAAUCCACUUAAUUCUAAUAUCAUGCAUUUACUCAAAAACAACAAUAAAAUCAUUAAUCAAACUCAUUCUUAAUAACAAUAAAUAUCAACACAGAGAUAAAAAUCAAUUUUCUAGAAAAUCAUUAAAUCGAAGCAUCAAAUAUUUAUUAUCAAAACAUGUUCUACUGUAUGGUAAAAUCAGAAUAUACUAUGAAAAUAGGUUUUGUAUAUUCCACUCACAGUAACGAUGUCCAGACUCGGUAUCACCAACGUCUGCGAGUUGAUUCUCGUUCGCGGGUCCUUCUAAUUAAAUAAAUGACAUAAUUAUUAUAUGUAUCAUGAAAUACGACUAACAGUACGAAAUAAAGCUCAAAAGCAAACUCCCGGAUACAUAAAAUUUCAAAAUUACCCUUAUGUCCAAAAAUUACCAAAAUUCCCCUCACACCGAAAUUUACCGAAUUACCAUCGAAAUCAUAAUUUAUCGAAUCAUCCUCAAUAUUUUAAAUUACCAAAUUGUCCUCAAUUCGGAAAUGGUGGAUGGCCACCAAUCUUGUACAUCCGUGGCAUGAGAUAACAAGGCACCUAAUGCCUUGGUAGCAAAAUCUCCUUGAACUAUAAAAUUUUGGAGUCGUUACCUCAAAACUCAAAGAUAUGAUUUGUCUGAAGCUCCUCAAACCAUUUUUUAAACUCAAUAAUGGAGUGGGACAUGUCUGAGUCCGUUAUUGUCAGACUCUGCUAACUCCAAGAUUUCGUCAUUUUUGUCUCAUUUCAUGAUCUGCCGUUUACCUUGACCAAAUCAAACCGUAUAUGUUUCAAAAAGAAAAAGUCACAAGAAAAAUCCGUACAUCUUUUGCUUCGUGCAAUGUAUCAAAGGCACAAAAAUAGCUUUAAUUUUGCAAUAAGAAUAACCUUGCCAUAGUCAGCAUCAAAAUUAAUUAAAGUAAGUAAUUAAUAUUUCCUAGUCAGCGUCAAAAUCUUCAGCAACGUGGACAGCAGAGCGGAGGAUUCUAGCAGCUGCAGUCAACAGAUGCGAAUUGAUGACAUGGAGUGCCAGCUGGCAUAAGACGGUUACACGGCUACUCAUGCAUGUACCAGUUAGUUUAUAAGCUAAUAUAAUCUGUUAUAUUAGUUAAAAAUGAGUUGAAUAACAGCUCAGCAAUCUUGUAUAUAUAAAACCUCGUGUACAUUUUAUUCUCAGUGUAUUGUGCAACAACAAAAUGAAUUAGAAAGUCCUGGAAUAUAGUUCUCGAUUCAUCUUUAGCAUUUUCUUUCAUUUUCUCAGUGUCCAAACAUCAAUUUCUCGGUCUUUAACUAAAAUUAAUUAAAGUAAUUAAUAUUUCCAAAUACUAGGUUUUAUUUUGGUCUGUGGAGGAAGUAAUUAUUAUUAUUUGAAUGAGUCUAGCUAUUGAACAAUAUUUUCCAUAACAUAUUUCUCUUGUAAAUCUAUGCCUGUGUACAAAAGAUAUGGUUAGGAAAGUUCUGUAAUCAGUAUAUCGUGGUCUUCUCAUCCAUUAGCAUAUCUCUGCGUAAAUAAUGCAAGUCCAUAUCAUUCUUUCUUAACUCUCCCCAAAAACAUUUUAUCAUGCAUGUCUUCCUAAAAAUUAGAUAAAUGACACAUAAACAAUGGUUACUGGUCAGAGGUAAUCGGAAAAUUUGGGUUGGGCAUUUUGCCCAAACAGAACCGAACCAUACAGGCUCGAAUGGGUCAGUUCUAUUUCAUUUCAGAUUUUUCCUAACCAAUCAGUUUUGGUCCGAAUUUUAAAAAAUGAACCAAUACCAAGGAAACCAACAAAACGAGUUGAACCGAAAUCGCUCACCCCUACUGGGUUUCUUAGCUGAUUUGUAGGGUUACAUGCUCACAAUGAAUCCGUAAAAUUUCCACCAAUAGCAAGAGCACUGAAUUGAAUUUUUGUUAUAAUUUAAUAUAACAAAGCCAAGGGGUGCCAAGUAAAACACUCGACCUUCAUUAAUAGUUUUCUCUGCUUCAGUUACAUACUAUCCACUUCUAAACCAAUGUAAAUAAUUUUUUCUCUGGAUGUGCUUAUUUUUUCAACUGUCUAUCGUCCCAGUCCAGGUCUGAAUUUCUUCCAUUAGAACAGCCCCUCUAGAGACUAACUAUCAAUGUCCUAUGAUCUAUAGCUAUGUUAUUUAUCACUGCAUUAUUUGUUUUCACGGACAACGUGGGGGCUUCUUGCCAUUUCUUGACCAGACACUAUCUCUGGAGGUGCUUGAGCUUGACUAUUUGGAUUAUGAUUCGAAUUACCAUACUCAGCUCUGGGUGUCCCUUGCUCUCCAUAGAACAAAAAGUGGGAAUCUGCAUGCUGUGAGUAGCUUGAAGGACUGGCUGGGUAGCGACUGUCCGGAGAGGCUUCAGUUGCACCCAUACCAUGAACUUGGAUGCCACAUUUGUCUUUGAAAGUAUGUGCACUGAGGUCUCUUGAAACAAAUAUUUUGAGAAAAAUGCGAAUUCUUGACAACAAUGAUGAUUCUGAAUUCUUCAAGACAUUCCUGUGCUGAUGGACAAAAACAGCCAGGAAUAUUAUGAGAGCUAAGAUUGCAGCAAUGCCAGCUAUGAGAAACAGACCCCAGAAACUGUUAAGGCCAAGGCUGGGAGAAGACGUGCUUGCAUCUGGGCAGCUAGAAUGUUUCUUGAACCAUGCACCUUCAAUUUCCUUCAUUUUAUCCCCUUCAGUCACAUUUAAGAUUGCCUUCGAAACAUCAUGUACUAGAGGGGAAUGUAAUGGGAAGGCCUGUAAAUCACCAAACAAGAGAAAAUCGGCAUGAGAAAUUAAGAAGGUUGUAAUUGCUGUGCUUCUGCUUAAUUGAGAAAGCACGACAGCUUAAGUGUUUGACGAAUGCCCUCUUUUACUGGCAGUUAAUAUUUAUCAACCACCCAUUCAUCCAUCCUUGCUAGUUAGAAAUUUAAUUGCAAAUAGCCAUGGACAAAAACUUAAAAGCCAUGACGCCAGAAGAAAGUUCGAGAACUUACAAAACCAAAUCCAGCUGUUUUGAAUGUUGGUUCAACCAUGGUAUAAUUGGAGCAAUGUUGUCCAAUAAGCAACUUCGCGUAGGGAAUUUCAUCAAAUGCUGCUGCAAUGCCGCCAUUUGCACUGCCUUUUUGGAAAAGUUCAUCACAUUCUUCAUGAGAAUUAUACACUACAAGUUUCCUCUCAUCAAAGCCUAAUUGUUUCAGGAUUCCAAGAACAAAGGAACCCUUCUGGUAGCCAACAUUGUCCCCUCUCUUUAUCAGCAAGUUGACAUCAGUAAUUGUUGGCUGCAGUUGCUCCACUGUAAGUAGCGAAGUCAAGCUAGCUGUGUAGCUUUGAAUGAGAAUGAGCACAACAAAACACCAUACAAUCACCACAAAUCUGGCCAGGUUGCUUAUCACUCUCUCCCCUGUAUACGUAAAAGUUAAAGAAAAAACGUCAAUGUAAUGCCUUGCAUGGUGACUGUGAAUGCAUUAGUAUCUAAUAGAAGUCAAGAAAGUUGAUGGGACAUUUAUUACGUUGUGAAAAGACCAUUGUUGAGAAUGAGAACCAGAAGCUUGUGCCAACUUGAUGCCUAGCAGGGCCACGAAAAUCUUCGUUUACUCUGUGUUCAAGAACCCACACUACAAAUCCAAUGAAAAUGAAAAAACAGCCACUUGUCACCCAAAGGUCCCAUGUUAAUGGCUGCAGGAACACCCAUGCAUUUCUCUUCUUGCUAUCUUUGAUCGGCACAAUCAUGGAUACUCCAGAUUCUGUAUAAGGCAGUGUGAAAUCGACAUAAUUUGAUCUAUUAAACACAAUUGUUGUAUCUCCCACCACAGCAUCAAAUUCCUAUUCAAAAUCACCCAAAACAAAUAAAUAAAUAACAGACUUUUACGUUACAUAAUCAAGAUGUGACUAGUACUAUUCUGAUUAGCAUUACGAGAUGGAUUUUUUACCCCGCGAAAUACUUGGUAGAUCAAAUCAUUGUAUGAACCGGAACUGGUGCCAUCAGGCUGAGCAUAGGGGAUAAAAUGAUAAGUGACAGCAUCUGGCAAUUCCAGAAUUACAGCUUUAAACACAUCUAUACAAUAUCCAGUGACAGAAGUUUCUUGAGUUUUUGGAUCAAUUGUCACCUUCACAAAAUCACUAAAGCCUUUCUUUACGGGCACUCCAACCCGUAGCUUCUUCUCAUUCGUAGGAAUCUCCCAUCCCUUCGGAUCAGAAGUAGAAUCCCCCGGCCAUAUGAUGGGUCUAUGCUUGGAUUUUGUAGUCGAAUUUGAACUCAGUUUCUGCGUCAGUCCUUUUUUUGGUGUCCAAAAUCCAACCCCUCUUGCUCCAUUAUUGACAUUAAUAAUCUCAAAAGCUGAAGAUUGUAACUGCCCAUCAACAAAAAUGUAGUCCCCUGUAAGCCCUUUGAAUCUUGUACUUGAUAAAGCUUGGAGAAGUUUUGGACCAUUCUGAGAGAUACCAAAAGCUUCAAGAUCAGUUGCAUUGCUAGAAACAUUAGUCUUAUCAAAGCCAAAACUCGUGAUACCGGCUUUCUCAACUGCCUCGGCCAGUGCCCUUGUAGCAUCAUAACCUAAUAACCCCAAAAUGUUCAAUUCAGCAUAAAAAAGAGACGGAUUCUCCUGCAAAAAUUUCCUUUUCCAUCGAACUCUAAAAUUUUCGAGUGCCUUUGUUUACGGAACAUAGGGUCUCACACCUAUCACUCCUUGCAUUGAAUCAAUCACUGAAGGCUCCAAUGUUCUUAACAAAUUGGUCAUGCCAUCGGUCAUGAUCCACACACAGCCUUUAUUCAUCAAACCAAUUUCGUUUGCUUUCUCAAAAAUCCUAGAGCCAAGGGAAGGCAACAUAUGCAAAAUGAACACUCUGGUUUGCAUUUUGAUUAGUUUGUAAAGCUCUUUUUCAAUUUGAUCGUCUGUAGCCAAAGGAGAAAUGACACUUCUAUAUGGCACCCAAGUGUCAAUGGCUUGAAGGGCGUCAGUUAGAGAAGGAAUCAUUUCUUCUCCGUAUUGAUUGUCUACAUAAAUGGGCACAGCUUCUCUCCAACCAAAGGCUUUGAUUAUUGCAGUUAUGGCACCAACUUGAGAUGAGUCAUUUAGGGAACCUCUAAAGAAGUAUGGACUCCUAAUGGAAGUAAGCGAAGGAAUUGUUCCGGAAAAUGACAAAAUGGGCACUUGUGAUUUGUUGCCUAGUUGAAUUAUAAAGUUGGUCUGCAUGGAAUUUUCUGGUCCCAGUAUGGCUUGUACUUGUACAUUGUUUAGCAAGUCCAGAGCUGUGAAUUGACCAAAGAAAAUUGUGAUUCACUUUUCAUCCCAAAAAAUAAAAAAUAAAUAAAUAAUAAAAAUAAAUCUAGAAAGAAAGAUAUGUAAAAUUACUGGCAAAUUCCUUCUCCCUUACAAAACAUUAUAUGCUACAUCAUUAUAUUAAGGACAAUUUUUGUUCAGUUAUAUUAUAAAUCUCUGUGCUUUUGUCGAAAGAGAAGCAUUCCACAUUUGUCAAAACUUAUAAUUUGGCCUCCAUCUUGAAUAAGAAAUCCUCGUGUACAGACAAAUUAAAAGCUACUAAAUUGAACUUUCAGAUAAAACUCUGCCCGGAUGAUAGGAUUAAGUAUAGGAUUGGAUUAAUUUUGAGAUUAAAUAUUUAUCUCAUAUUUGGCAAGCUUAAUUGGUCUAGAUUAAGGGGACUAAAUUUGAAUUUAUUCCUAAAAUCAUAGGACUAAUAUUAUUGAUUUACAAAUGGGUUUAGAUGGGAUAAGAUUUAAAGAAAAAAAUUGUCCAUUCAUGAGACUUUAUUACACCUAAUAUUAAUUAAUUAACCAUUUAUUUAAUUCUUUAAUUUUUUAUUUAUGAUUUACAUAAAAUUUAUUUUUAUUUAUUAUCAUGAAUUAAUUAAAUUGGUACUUUGACUUCUACUAACUAUUGAGAUUAAUUUUUCAUUACUUGUACAUUUAAUAAUUUAUCAAUAAAAUUAACCAUUUAAUAAUUUAUUGCAUUAUUUGAUUUUACUAAAUUUAAUAAUCACUAAUAUAAUAUUAAAAAUAAUCAUGAAAUAAUAAUACCAUUAAUUAAUUGAUUUUAGAUAAUAUUUUUAAAUAUUUGACAAAAAUUAAUUAAAUAUUUAGAUUGUUUUAUGCAUUUUUAUUUGAUUAUUAUAUUGUGACUACCCACAAACUUAUUUACAAUAUAUUUAAUUUUCUUACUAAUUGCUUUUUAAAUUUAUUUUAAUUAUGAUUAAAAAAUUCAUGAAUAAUUGAUAUUUAUAUUUAAAUAUCAACUUAAAUGCUAUUUAAUAUUAUCUAAAUAUAAUUUAAUAUAGUUUAAUCUGGUAUUGUACCAAACAUAAGACUAUAUAAUAUAAUAUAACUUAAUCCAAUCUAAUUUAAUCCAGUUUAGUCCAAUCCAAUCCCGUAUGCCAAACAUAGCCCAAAGUGAUAUGCCUUAUGAGUUGUGAAUUAUGCACCGGGAUCAAUCCUCUCCUAUAUUUAUGAACUUUUCCUAAUAAAAAUAAAAUAUGAAGUGGGAUGUAUGAUGAUUAUCAACCAUAAAAAUAUAAAAGUAAAUAAACUUUAAACCUACGCUUUUUUUUUUAAAGGUAAGGGGAGGUGGGCAAGCCCAAAUAUAAUUUUUACCCCCCUUACCACCUCCAAGAAUCGAGCCCGGGUUUUUGGUAAAGGCUACAGCUGCACUACAACCAACUCGAUCACGCCCUUGGGGGCACUUUAUACCUACUUACAUUGUUAUUGUAAAAAUAACGUGACAUGAGAUUUUCAAAAGCUCGAGAGAGCUAAGAUAAAAAAGAAGAUUCUAGUUAUUGAUUUUUGAUGAUUUUGUUUUUCUUUCUUCUCUUCAAACUAUACUAUUUCUAAAUACUUUUUAUUGGGGAUGACAAAAUUACCCGCAACCCAUAAACCCACAAAAACCCACCAGCUGACAGGUUUGGUAUUUUAAACUUAAACCCGCUGCGGGUUGCAGGUGAGUUUAAUAUUGAGAAAAAAUUCGCCCGAUACCAACUUGUGUAUCCGUUAACCUGUAUUCUUUAUUUUAAUUAUUUAUAUUUUUAAUUUUAAUCAUAAAAAUUACAUUAAAAAUUUAGUCAUAAAUAUAUGUAAUUUAAAUUUUCUAAUUCCUAAACCUAACCCAUCUCACUAUAUAUAUAUAUAUAUAGGCGUUCUCUUUUUUUUUCAUUGCGAACACGCUGUUAAACCGUAUGUUUUGAUAGUUUUCUACACUGACUAUAUAUAUAGUUCUUCUUCACUGGAGGUGCUCUCAUUUUUUUUUUUCAUUCAAAAAGCUAUUAAAUGGUGUGGUUUAAUAGUGUCAGUGAAUACAUGCUAUUAAACUGCAUGAUUUAACAGUGUGUUCGCAUUUAAAAAAAAUAAAGGCACUCGCACUAGAGUGUGUGUGCGUGUGCGUACAUACGUGUGUGUAUAAUAAUAAUUAUCUAGUGAGAGCAUCCUCAUUUUUAUAAAGUGAGAAUACCUUUAUUAACGAAUGACUAUACAUACAUACGUACGUAUGUACGUACAUACAUAUACACACACAUACAUGUGUGUGUGUGUGUGUGUAUUAUUAGAAAUUUUAUAAUUUUCAUGUUUAAUAUUACUGUUCUUUUAUUUUAAUUUAAUUGAUUUUGUUUGUUUUGCUUUAAUGACAUGAACCUAAUGAUUGCUUACUAGAGUUGGGUUUCUGUUUGUUUAUUUAUUCUAAUCGGUGAUUGUACAAAAUUUAUUUGUUGAUACUAUUUAUAAUACAUGUAUAUUGAUUAAAAGAUGGAGUAAGACAUUGAUAUUAGUGAUUGUGAUUUUCCUACAAUAGAAAUAUUUUGUAUUAAAUUAAUAAAUUUUAUGUAUUUGUUUUAAUCUUAAAAUUUUAAUUUCGUAUUUACAUUGAUAAAAUCUAUAAUUGAGUAUUGUAUACAGAUUUUUUAAGUUAUUGUUUUAAAUUUAUAGUUUCAAUUAUAUAAUUUAAAUUUUUAUGUAUUAUUAAAAUAUUUUUUGAUAUUUUUGUUUUAAAUAAAAAACCUUGCAAAAAAUUUGCUGUAGGUUGUUUUUUUACUAUAAGUUGCGGGUGAGUUUAAUAAUUGUUAAAAUCUGUACUGGGUGAGUUUUUUGAAAAAAUAAAGCUACUGCGGCUUACAAGUGGGUUUUGUAAUUUAAAUUUUUUGUUGAUGCAGAUUUAAUAAUGAUAAACCUACAACAAGUGGUACCCAUUGACAUUCCUACUUUUUACCGAGUCCUCUAAUUUUUUCAUUUACCUCUUUUCAUAUUCAAACCCGACAUUUUGAGAGGCAAAGCAUCAGCAUUUUGGGUUAAAUUAAUUUAUGGACUCUAACGGAUGUCACUAUCGGCUGACAAAUGCUGGGAAAAAAAUUAUUUUAUAUAUGGACCACGCUGCACGCAUGAAUUCUCCGGAUAUGGACUUUGGAAAACAAUCAAAACUCCUUAUUGUUUCAGUAAUAUCGUUUCCCCUCUCAUAUUUAAAAAUUCAUCAUCAUUGAUCAAGAAGAAUUUCUAGAAAUAAAAGAGGAAAAGAUACGAAAAUGUCGAAAGUUUACACAAAUUUUUUACGACAACGAGGUUAAAUUUGCUGAUCUUUCCCUAUGAGAAUUUUAACUUGAGUAAAUACACGUUUUUGGACAUUGGUAGUGCUUAAUAAAUAGAAAUAUGGUAAAAUAAAUCGCAACUAAGAAGAAGCGAGAGAUGGCGAAUAAUGAGUGGGUACCUGCGGCAGCUGCAGCAACAACAUCUCCUUUGGAAUCCCUGGUGUUAAGCAGAAGCCUGGUUUUGUAGUGAGAAUUGGAGUUAUAAAAAUCAGAGAGGCUCAUGUUGAUGCAACUCAGAGCUAUCUUCCCAUCUUCUCCAUUUAUGUCAAGAACUAACCCCACAUUUACUGGAAUUGUUGUGUUUUUUGACGUGGCUGUGUUAGUCAAGAAGAAUAAGAUCAUCAGAGGAAUCAGAAAGAAUGGGAAAGAGGAAAAACUUUUUGUUGGGUUGUUUAGUCCCAUCAUUUUGAAGCUUAUUUUAGUAAUAGCUACGGUUUUGAUAUUUUGAUGAUGGAGUCAUGGAGUGCUUUUGCUCUUAUAUAGUGUUAAAAGAUUUGAAAAGUAUGAAUUACACAAUUAAUAGAAAGUAUACCCUAUAGAAUAAGCAAGUACUUGACUCUGGCUCUGCAUGGAAAGUAUACCGCAAUAGAAACAAGAGGAAAAUUCUUUUGGAGACUUUGGCUGCGUGGAAAUUUCAUCACAUACACCUCCUAACGUAUUUAACACUUUAGCAGCAAAGCUUUAGCCUUUUGGAUGCUCUCGAUGCAUUGCACUUACGUCACUGAAUUUGGGAAAAUGAUCGAAAUUCUUUUUUUUUUUUUUUGAAAUGAUUGAAAUCCCUAUUAAAUUUUAAAAUGCAUUGAAAAUCUUUGGUGAUAAAAUUAAUUUGGUCUUUCAAAAAUUUAGUCGGUCAAUUUUUCAACAAAAACAUACAUUUAUCAGAUUUUCAAAAACCAAAUUGUUCUUAGAGAAAGUAAUUCGGUCAUUAAAACUUUAACACUAAGGAGUUUCAAAGAAUUUUAAAAACAGGAGGGGAAUUUCGAUCAUUUUCCACCACUGAAUUUCUACCUCAUAUAUAAAUUAAUUUAUUACUGAUUGAGAAGUGCAAAUGACAAAAAUCUAAAAAGAUGCAGUACACCAAAUGUAGAUAAGAAAAAAAAAUUAGAAGUCAAAUUUUGGAACACGUCAAAUAAUUGUUAACUAAUUUACUAAGGAUUGGUCGCAAUCUAAAUUCGAGAGAUCGGUUUGGUUUUAGAAAGCAUUUUUAUUUGGUCUACAUGUGUGUGUGUAUACAUAAUACACUUGUAAAUUUGUUACGCUCUUCGGAUACCAUAAAAUAUGGGGUCUAUUAAAAGUCUGAAUUGAAAAACUUAACAUAGAUUAAAAAUCUGUUAGCAUAUAGUUUGAAAAUCUACACCGUAUAAAUGUGAGAUAUACCCAUAUAUCAAAGACGUAUAUAUACUCUCUUCAAUUUAAUAUUUGACUAUUUGUAUUCAAUACUUGUAUAAAUAAAUAGUCAAUCUCUUCCAUCUAAUAUUAUUAUUUAUAGUGUGCAUCCUAAAUUUUUUAUCUCAAAAAAUUAUCUCAAAUGAUGUUGUAUUCAUCAAUUAAUUGGUGAGAUAAUACAAUUAAUUCACUUAGAUUUUGUUAAAAAUUACCAACCACUCAUUUAAUGACACAAUAUUUAGAAUUAAAAAAUUUAGGAUGUGUAUUUUUAUUCUUAUUUAUAUUUCAUUAUAACUUUCCAAGUUCAAAAAUUAGCAUAGCAUAGCAUAAGAUAAAAUAAAAUAGCUUGUUGUCUUAAUAGCAAAACUCCUUCAAUAAAAAUCGACUUGGGACAAUCUCGAAGCCAUAAUAUAUGAUUUGUCGGAAAUUUCUUAUUCACAGUACUAGGACAUAGCUGAGUCUGUUCUCUAUUUUGUCUCAUUAUCUGAGUCUGAUCUCAAUUUUGUCUCCUUAAUUUACUUUCAUCAUCUAUCAUUUACCUUGACCAAAUAAUCAAAACCAUUUGCGCAUCCGACUUGUUACGACGUGUCAAAGACACAAAACCAGAAUCCCCAAAAUUCUUCAAUAUUAAUGAACUUGCGAAAGUCGGCAUCAAGAUAACAUUAGAGAGAUAUUUUCUUUAAUUAAGCUACUAGUAUAAUUAAUUAAGUCUUUUGUUCUCAAGAGGAAACUUGUUUGAAUGGGUCUACGUACGCGCAACAUUAAUUAACCACAAAAAUAUCUUGAUCAAGCAGUGUGUUUUACGUAAUAUAUCAAGCAUAUUGACUUGCAAACAUUAUUUAUUUCACAAGGCGUUAGCUAGGGUUUUAAAAUAUAUAUAAAACACACACACACAUAUAAAAUUUUCAAUCCAAAAUUUUAAAGUACAGGAGCAUUCAAGAAAUCUUUAAAACCACACGGUUUUAAAACUUUAUUUCAUAAUACUAUUAAAUCCUACGGUUUUAAAGUUUUCCCGAAUAUUUCCCGUACUUUAAGAUCACGUACCAAAAAACAAAAUAUAUAUAUAUAUAUAUAUAUAUAUAUAUAUAUAUAUAUAUAUAUAUAUAUAGUAGUUUUCUAGUCAGGGAUUUUAAAGUGCGGGAAAGUCAGGGAAAGCUUUAAAACCACACGACUUUAAAGGCUUACAGUUUUAAGCCUUUAAAACCAUGCGGUUUUAAAAGUUUCCCGCACUUUCUCGUACUUUAAAAUUCAUGAUUGAAACAUUUAUAUAUAUAUAUAUAUAUAUAUAUCAAUGAUUUUUCAAUCAGAGAUCACUGACUUUAAUAAAGUCGGAAAUUAGUUAAAAGACAAAAAAAUUUAGAUUUCAAUACACUAUAUGACAAAAUAUAGUGCAUUGAAAUAUGUGUUUAUUUUAUCUUUUAACGUAUCCCUAAUUUUAUUAAAGUAAGGGAUCCUUGAUUGAAAAACUACACACACACACACAUAUAUAUAUAUAUAUAUAUGCUACUGAAAUCUCCAUCAUGAUAUUCUAAUAUUUUAUUCUGAAUAUACAAUACAAUACAUAACACAUCAGUUCUACCAACAGUAAUUAGUAAAACUAAAUGAAGGUAGCUCCCAAAUAUUUGGUGAAUAUACAAUCAGUAAGAAAUUUAAAAAUUUCUUAAUAACGUUGCUUUCAAGACUUUAUUUCUAAUCAACAGUUUUCUCUCUCUCUCUCUCUCUCUCUAUAUAUAUAUGUGUGUGUAUAUGACGCCUGAUAUAUUUGAGAAAUGUUCAAUUAUGUUGCCAACUAUAUUUUUUUUUUUUUUAAAAAAUAAAUUAUUAUUAUUAUUAUUAUUUUGGGAAAAAAAAAACUUAAACCUUCAAAGUGUAAACUCUUAAUAUUUCACGAAUUAACAUACAAAUCUUUUCAAAGUUUGGGUCAUUGUGAUCACCACUGUGCAUGCUUCUUCUCAGCCUUGAUUCUUCGUUGGUUUUUUUUUAAACCCAUUUACUGACUUUAUCAUCAUGUAGGUUUUAAAAAAUGGUAAAUAUUCGUUUAGUCUUUAUAUUUGAGCUAAGCAUCUAUUUGGUCCUAUAUUUAAGAAAAAAAAAUUAUCUCAAAACACUCAUACUAUUAAUAUGUUAUAUUCCAACCCUUAUUUUUUUCUUUCCUUUUACAAUCAUAAACUUACAAUAAUAUUGAAUAUUCUUGGGAUAUUAACAAAAAGAAAAAAUAAUAGUUUAUCAAAUUAAUCUUAAAAGUAACAUAAAAAUUUGCACAAUUUUUUUUUAUAUAAUUACUUUACUUGUAGGAUUAAUUUUUGGUAAAAUUAAUUUUUUAAAUAUUUAUUAAUAAGAUUGUAAGGAUAUUAAACAUUGCUUAAAUUUUGCUGAUAUUAAUUUAUUUAUAAAUAAUUUUUAGUAAGAUUAUUGCACAUCUACAAAAAAUACUCUUUCACACUCAUAUUUAUUGGUUAAUUUGCUAAUUAACCUUUUUAUAGAAAAAUAAAUCAAUAUCAAGAAUAUUAUUGAAAUGUUAUUAUUGUAAAAAGAAAGAAAAAAUAAAGGUAAGAAUAUAACGUAUUUAAUUGUAGAGAUGUUUUGAGGUAUUUUUUAAAUAUAAAGAUUAGAGUAUCAAACACUUAAGUUAAGAUAUAAAAACUAAAUGAGCAUUUACCCUUUUUGAAAAAUAAAAUCUAAUGGUACAUUUGAUGUGCCCUGAUAAAUAAAAAUACCGUCUGCAUCUUCUCAUAGAAUGUUGUGAGUCUACCAACAAAAGCAAGUCUUAGGUAUUUGAGUAUCAAAUUUUCCCUUUAUCAUAUUAUCCCUUUUUUUCCCAAAAAAAAAAAAAGUUGUCUACAUAAUUUCCCGAAGAAGUAGGCUUCUAAUUAAGUUCUAACUAGUCUCACACGUUAUAUUAAUCUCAGAGAAAGGACUUGAAUUCAAUGAUGUCUCAUUCAAUUAUUUUGGAAGAUAAGAAUGAAUUUAAAAUUAGAUGCAUCAAAGUCUCAGUCAUGGUCACAGUCCAGGUAAUUUUCGUUUUGCUAUUACCAACCGAUCCAAGUAAACCAUUAAGCUUUCAAUCAAAUUAUAAAAUCGGGCCGUCACAAGUCAAAAGUCACAACUCAUGAACUCACAACACCAUUAGCUUCUUGCGGGUACUAUUUCACAAUUUUUUUUUUUUUUAUCAUUUUCUAACUUGGAAUGCAACCCAACAUUGUAUUUACAAAAAUUCAAAGGCUAUUAAUUGUUACUCUGCUUAUUCAACCUACCCCGUCUUGAACAAUAAAACAAAAAGCCAAUCGUAAAGAAAAGGGCAAUAAACGAUCCAAUCAUUCAAUUAUUUUUAUUUUUAUUUUUUGAUAACAAAAAAAUAAUUGAAUGAGACAUCAUUGAAUUCAGGUCUCAUUCAAUUGCUUUGGACGAUAAGAAUGAAUUUAAAAUUAGAUGCAUCAAAGUCUCAGUCAUGGUUACAGUCCAAGUAAUUUUGGUUUUGCUAUUACAAACCGAUCCAAUUAAACAAUUAAGCCUUCAAUCAAAUUAUUAAAUUGGGCGGUCACAACUCAAAAGUCACAACUCACAAACCAGUAGCUACUUGCGGGUAAAAUUUCACAAUUUUUUUUCUUCUUUUUAAUCCUUUUUGAACUUGGAAUGCGUAAGGUCGUGCUUGUAUAACCCAACAUCGUAUUUACAAAAUUCAAAGACUAUUAAGUCUUAUGCUGCUUAUUCAACUUAUCCUGUCUUGAACAAUAAAACAGAAAGCCAAUCGUAAAGAAAAGGGCAAUAAACGAAGCAAUGAAAGACUGCACACGUGAUCUCAAUCCUUUAUCAGCUGGCUCCAAAGCAAGUGGAGGUGUUUCCACAUUGCGUAGAAGAAAUGGGGGGAAUUGUAGGUCCAGUGGCCCUAAUGAAGGAUUCGGACCGGAAGGAGGAGGCAAAGACAUCCAUCCACCUCCUUUACCCUGCACGGAGAGAAACCCCAGCAAAUCAUCAUCAUGAAGCCGGUGGACAGAAGCCCUCGUCCCACAUGGCAAGGUGGAACCAGCAUCACCAACAUAGUCUGCAGUUAGCUCUGAAUUCAAAUGAUUCUCACCCACCACCGCUUGACAUUGAAAUUCAGCUUCAACAUCCGCAAAUGCCACUUGCCAUAAAAUAUCUCUAGAAUCUGAAGGAUAAUACCAU